UUUUUUUUUUUGUAAUUUUGGUACCUGACAACAUCUAAAAUAUUUAUUAUUUUUUCUUGAUUUAUUAUGUCAAUUGCCUACAAUCAAUUAAUGAAAAAGAAAGAUUUUUGGUAAUGCAAAUCUAAAAAGUUAAUUUAUUUGAUUAGCCUUAAUGUGAUUACAUGUAAUAUUAUUUUUCCUCUUGCACUCAGACCUUAAAAAAAUACUAAUAGAAUUAUCCAAUUAUCGAAAGAAUUAUUUUCUUGAGCUAGAAGAGGUUAGGUAGUUAUCCAAUUUUUUUAUUAUCUUUUUUUUUUCUCUUUUCUAUCUUCUAUUAUUGAUAUAUUUUUAAUUAUUAUUAUUUAAAUAAAAAAUAUUUUAGUUACAUAGGAUCCUCAUCUUUUAUUGUCGUUUUUUCAUUAUAAUUGAAAUAUUAAAAUUAUUUUUUUAUAUUUUUUUAUUGAUAAAAUUAAUAUUAUUAUGAUAAAAUAAAUUUAAAUAUUUAGAUCGAGAAAAUAUUUCGCGACUAUCAAAUAUAUCAGAAAAUGUUACCAGAUUGAUAUUAACUGAAUGUAUAUAAGCUCAAGACACAUAAGUACUCUAACCAACUUGUCAUCCAUCCAUAGAGACCAAUAGAAAUUAAAUAAAUAUUAAAAAAACAAAGUACAUGCUCGAACUAAUCGAUUCAUUUCAAUAUGAAUAAUUAAAGCAAUUCGAUUUUUUUUAUUUAUUUAGAACAUCAAAUUCUAAUUUUCUUAAUAAUUAUAGAAAUAUAAAAUAUAAAUAUUAAAAAUGAUAAAGAUGCGAAUGCUAAAAUUAAUUAAGGAGGGGAAUUAGCCCGUUGUUCUGCCGUUCCAGUUUUCCUAACUCCUUUCCCCUUCGAAGAGAGUUACUGGUUCGCCAGAAGCAAGACUAUGGCCGGAGGUGGGAUAUUGGGAGGGGGCAGAUCCUCCUGGGGAUACGGCCAUCCGGCGGCUGCCCGUCAGAUCGGUGGGCGGUGGUGGCAGCAGGAGGUGAAGCGGAGGGAACGGUGGCUGGUGGGCCUGGGGAUCGUGCUCCACGCUGUCUACAUGCUUAGCAUCUUCGACAUCUACUUCAAAACCCCCAUUGUCCACGGCAUGGAUCCCGUCCCCCAGCGCUUUUCCCCGCCCGCCAAGCGCCUCGUCCUCCUCGUAGGUGCGGGCGCCCUCCUCUCAUUUCUGGAUCGUGGUGAUGAUGUCUGCCAUCGUUCUUAUUGAUUCCCGAUUGGGGUUUGGAUCUUGAGCUUUGUUCCAGCUGAUGGAUUGCGUGCGGACAAGUUCUUUGAGCCAGAUUCGGAUGGACGGUUCAGGGCGCCGUUUCUAAGGAGCGUGAUAAAGGAGAAGGGGCGCUGGGGAAUCUCGCAUGCCCGUCCUCCGACGGAGUCGAGGCCUGGGCACGUUUCCAUCAUUGCUGGGUUCUACGAGGACCCGAGUGCAGUCACAAAAGGUGUGACAUGUUCUUGAUAGGGUUUAUUACGUUUUUCGAGCUAGAAAAUGAUAUGUGGUUUUUUUGUUGUUGUUUUGAUGGCCUUAGAACUCGGGACAUAAUUCCAUUAAGCUGGACAUUACCAUUAUCCUAAGCAUCUGAAUCUUGAACAACCUAAAUAGAACUAUUGAUCACCCAGCUUUUGCUUUUAGGGUGAACAAUUCAGUGCAUUCAUGUGAUACAUAGCACAGUGAUGGGUCUUUCUUAAUCAUGUUUUGCAGUGGAUAGUCAGCCACAAAAUUCUAUGGUGUAUUAAUGGAGCAUAGAAUAAGUGCUUAUAAAAUUAUUUUUUGCUGUUGAAGCAGAGUAGCAGAAAAAGUCAGUAGAAGAUGAUAUUUUAAAGCAUCCGCGGCAAUUAAAUGCACAAGUAUAACAAAUGAUGCUGGAUAAUUUUGCUAUAUCUUGACUAGCUUUAUUUGUCUAUCUUGACCACCAUACAAAUUACGGUGGUGGUCCAAGUCUUGAAAUGAACCAUUGAGUUCAGACUUAGAGCUUUGUGCCUUGAAUAGUUAUCAGCCACUGAGAGGUCUUUGUAGCUUCUGCGCAUGUAUAAUCUUCUUGGAUACUUUGUGACAAAAUAUUCUUGGAUAAUCUUUUGACUCUCCUAUUAGGUAUGCACCACUAUCGGGUAAGAAGUUUAAGUUUUAAUUGCCAUGAGUUAUGAUAAAUUGUUACCUAGUUGACUCGAAAGGUCCCUCAAGAUAAUCUUUUUUGCAUAGUCACUCAAGAUUUAACUUUUUUGCAUCACUGCCAAAUGUAGGACUUCCUUACUUUAUCUUUGACCUCUUUGAUAUCUAGAUUUUGAUGCCACAACUAUAAAAUUGUGGGUUAACCUAUUGGUUUGAAGAUGUUCUAGAACCUAGAAAGGUUGUAAUCAAUCAAUUAUGGAUUAGAUAAAGGAGUACUAGAAAGCUGAAAUGGAACAUUUUUUUAAUGGAUAAAACAAGUUUAGACUAAGAUAAUAUAGCAUCUUUUUUAAAUAUGACAAAAAAAAUUUGUGUUUUAUGCGCUCCUCUCUCAAGUUGAAUCAAGGAGGUUCUAGCUGUAUAAAUUUCAUAUACAGAUACCCAGCAGCUACAAUUAGUUUCAUAUGUCAGAUAUCCUCAGCUAUGAUAAAUUUAUGGUAAUUUCAUUUUUCUAGAGAUAACAAAAAGAGAUUUGCUUGCUCUUAUUUUGACGAGCGAUGUUAUUUUAAAGAUCAGGCCUAGGAAGAUCCAUGUAGCCCAUCCCAAAUGGCUGAGACAUUUUGGCUGGUUGUUGUUGAAGUUAUUUUCUGUGGUUUACAUUUGGUCAUCAGUCAUUAUCCUAGGAUUAUUAAAGUCAGUUUAUCUGGUUUGAACCUGACAAGCUUCUUGCUAAAACAAUUUUAAGGUAGGAGUGGUGUUCUGUUUGUUUGUUAGAUAAAGAGCUAUCUUCUGUUAGUAUUACUGCAUACACUUAAAAGAUUUUGUUGCUUGUGUAGUUUCUCAAUACUAGACUUGGAACACCUGAUCGAAUGUUUUAUGUUAAUCACUUACGUUUUGUGUAAUACAGAAUGUCCUUGAAAUAUUUUCUUAGGUGUAUAUUUUGUCCUGUUUUGCAGGGUGGAAAGCUAAUCCUGUUGAGUUUGAUUCGGUUUUCAACCGAAGUCGCCAUACCUUUGCUUUUGGGAGUCCUGAUAUCAUUCCUAUAUUCUGCCGAAGUGUGCCUCACAGCACCUGGGCGACAUAUCCUCAUGAAUAUGAGGACUUUGCUUCGGGUUAGGACAACUGACAUUAACUUAAGUAGAAUCUUACUCUUACUCUAGCCCUUUUGAAUUUCUGAAUUAACACAUGCAGCUUUCUUCCGCAUUUUUAUGCUAAAAUGAUCAAAUUUUUAGGUUUUAUAGCUUUAAUAUUAAGCAUUUUAAAUCUGAGCAUCUUAUUGGUUAAUGUAACAAUCUUGAUUUAAAAUGGAAGUUAUUCAUCUUUAUGCCAAAAUAUUUAAGAUUUUGAUCCCAACUGACCUAUCAGCACAACAGCUUGCAUGUGAUUGCCUUAACAACAUGGUCCAAAGUGCACCCCAAUUCUUAGUAGUAAGCUAUUAAUUCCGUAUAUACAAGUCCAACUGUCCAACUGUCCUGUUCAAGUGCUUUGGGUGUUAUACCUAGCCUUUCAAGUCCUAAUUCCUCUAUUAGAAUAUAACAUGUAGCUCAGAAGCAACAAAAAGUUGGAGUAAUCUGGGAUUCUAAGGUAAACAUAUUACAAAUAUUAAUGCACUCAGUGGCCCAUAGAGUUUUUUGCUUGUAAGACCUGAUAUAUAAUCUGUUGGAGUAGACCUAACAAUGUGGCGAAGAUGCUGAAGGCCUAGUGAUUGCUGUUAGGUCACUACUUGGUAGUAAAGAACUAUAAACUCCCAGAUUGGGUGAUCUCAUUGGAGUCACUUUGCCUUUUAAGACGAGUAGCUUCUAUUGUCUCAUGGAAACUUGUUGCAGUUCCAUUCUUUAAAUGUUAAUAUUUUACUAAGAAAAUUUUAAAAUGCAUGAUUCAUUAUGCUAAAUGCAUGCUUGAUAAUGUUGAAUUUGCUUGGAACUUUUGAUAGAUCAAUCAAAAGAUGGGAAAUCUCAUAAGCAUACUUUUGUUAUGUUCUAAUAAUUACUUUAAAGGUACAUCUUUAUGUAGAGGUUUCUUUUGUACAAGUGUGUUGGUUGUUGAUCCAUAAAUUUGGUCAUCAAAUUUCAAACUGCUUGUAAGAUGAAAAGUUGGUGUAUGUUGACUGAUCCCAUAGAAUGGUGGUUAGAGGGUCAAGCUAUUGAUUAAGAAUAAAGAACAAGAUCAAGAGGGAGGAAGUAUUGACUGAAAAGAAGCAACAAAGGACUAUGAAGAAAAUAAAAUGACUGAAUAAGAUGUCAAAACCAAGGAUUUUAAUUUCGAAUGAUACCGCUUGUAUCGAGCGGUAUGUAUCGAUCCGCCAGCAGAUCAGUACGCGGAUCGCCCGCUACCGGGCGGUACCAUCGAUUGGGGCUAUUUCCGUGCCGUUACCACAUGAAAUCGGUCAGUGAUGAUGGAUUUCGACUGUCGCCGCUCAGUAGCGACCGUCACCGCCCGCUACCGGGCGGUAUUAGCCGAGGUAGAAGGAAGAAGAGGGAGAAAAAAAGGGAGAACUUGGAGAUCCGGCGUCGCCCUCCCUCGAUAAUCCCGAUUCGUCGCUGCCCUCCCUCGUUGGACAUGGCAGAUGAGAUGUCGCCUCCUCCUCAUUUGAGGCAACGAGGGCUCAGCGUUGUCGGUGACUUCUCCUCAUCCGUGCAGGGAGAAGCUUCGUGGGGAAAAGAAACCGAGCAGAAGAAAUGAGGCACGACAUCGCUUUUUUUUUCGCUGGGAGAAGAAACCUCACGACGAAAUGAGGCAAUGUUUCUUCUCCCCACGCGGGCGGAAGAAACGAGGCGACGCCGCCCCUUUUUUUAAACUUAUUAUACACACACACACACACACACACACACACACACCCCGAGUGGUAUGUUAGAACGUACCGCUCAGUAUACUUGUAUCGUACUAUACCAAGCUGAGUUCGAUACUCUGGUUCGGUACGAAAUUACAAACCUUGGUCAAAAUAUAAAUGUAAUAUUAAUAUACUUGAACAACAAAAGAACAAAAAAGAGAAAACAAGAUGGGAAGUAAGAAGAGAAAUUGAAUUAGUGAAUUGUCUUACAAUAAAAGAUAUGGAGGUUGGAUUGAUGUGUCUUUUGCCUGAUCAACAAGAUAAAGAGUGCAUUUCAUUGUGCCCUAGGCAGGUUCAAUGUAACCCUGACCCUUGCAUGCGGAAUGACUGUUUCUAUGAUUUGAACCCUAGUCAUGCAGGUUGCAAAAUAUGGUGCAAUAUGAUUUGUGCUUUACAUACAUUGCCCAAUAGUAAGUUGAGUUAAGGAUUUUAAUUUUGACUCUACCAAUCUGUAUAGAUUGGUAUUUACCAGUCUGAUGAUCGAUUGGAUUGUGGACUGGGCAAUCUCACCUUGUCUUUACUGGUUGCAUCCAAUAGCAAGUUACUUUUCUGCAUUUAUUGGUAAAACCACAAAAAUCCGACCCUUCUGAGAUUCUCAUUGUUGGGAGCCCUUUGCAUUGAGUUGAAUUCUAAAUGCAUGAGGGUCUUGAGUCCUGCUACGCAUGUUCCAGAAAGGUCAGAUGUUUUAUGGGUUUACCAAUAAAUGUUACUUUCUGUGACUCAAAGCCUUGGCAUGUAGGUUGAGUUAAGCAAUGGAUUUGAAUGAUGUAGAUCUGAUGAAGUUACUAAUUUUGAUGCCAUCUAAUUAACUUCAUCUCAAGUUACAACAUUUUAGUACUUUAAUCAUGUAAGUGUGCAGGUUGUUUUGUGUAAUUGAUCAGAAAUUCUUGUUAUUGUUCCAACUUCCAACCGUGAGAGAUCGUUAUUAUCUUUAUGUGAUUGCCAAUUUAUAUCAAGUUGCUUAGCAUACAAGAACAAUGUUUAUAAUUCUUUUUGAGUUCUGUUGCAGAUGCAUCCUUCCUUGAUCAGUGGUCAUUUGAUCAAUUUCACAGCCUUCUGAAUAGGUCUCGCAAUGAUCCUAAAUUAAGGCAGAUGCUCCUACAGGAUAAAUUGGUCAUAUUCUUGCAUUUACUUGGUUGUGAUACAAAUGGCCAUGCACACCGGCCUUACUCAUCCAUUUAUCUUAGCAACGUUAAGGUCGUUGAUAAAAUUGCAGAAGAUGUCUACAAUCUCUUGGAAAACUAUUUCAAUGACAAUCAGACGGCUUAUAUUUUUACAGCAGACCAUGGAAUGAGUGAUAAAGGUUUGCGUGAAUAUUUAUGCACUCUCCACUUUUGCUUUUAUAUGUUCAUUUGAUCUUAUGGCCUCGUAUAUUAUGCUUUUGUUGUCUAAACAAGUGCAAAAAGUCGUACCAUGUUCGUACAAUGGCAUAGGCAUUAUAUUGACUGUGUGAUAUGCUAACCGUUGACCAACAUGGCACCAUGCUGCACAGAUGACAUCUUAGAUUCAGAUCAUAGGACAUAGCAAUAAACUGGGUAAAAAUCAUUAUUGCCAUAUUUAUAUCUGGAGCAGCUGUGAACGAUCAAUUAAUAGCUAGAUGAGAUUUUGAACUCCAUAUUAAAUUGAAGUAAUUCUACAGCAAUUUAUAAUGAUUUAUCAUUGCAUUUAAUUUAUUAUUCUAAACUUGUAUGGAUAGAUGUAUAUUCUGGAAAUAUUAUUUUUUUCAUAAUAGAACUAGUAGAUAUAUUCAUUUUAUUAAAAUUUAUCAAUAUAAUAGAUGUAGCUGAUAUGUGACGUGAACAAAGAAUCAAUUGAUGCAAACUUAUCUUUCUAGUGGUGUGUAAUAUGGAGUCAUGGACAAUUGGAAACUGUAGUAAUAGGUAGAUAAGUGUCCAAAGUUUAUGAUAUUAUGGAGUAUUUGUUUCUCAAAAACAAAUUUUAACAAAAAUAAAAUAGAGCAAAGUUCGUCUUAUCGGUUCGUACUGAUGUACUGACCAACCGUCGGUAUGGUACGAACGGAGGCGUACCAAUGUACCAUAUGUUGGUACGCCUAGGCGUACCAAUGGUAAGAUAAAAUUGCUGAAAAUAACUCUAAAAAUUCCAAAAAAUAGAAAACAAAGUUGGGUUAGGGUUUCUAAUUUGGAAAUAAAUAUAAAUUUAGUAUAAUUUUAGCAAAAACAAUCUAAAUUAAGAAAGAAUAGUGACAUAUCUUUUUUGAGUUUUGUGGAGUAACUUUAUGGUAUGUUCUGGAUCUUCUAUUAAUAUUGAAUUAUCUACAAAGAAAUAAUUUGAAUUGUUAGAUUAUUUUUUAAACAAAUUAAACUUUAAAAUUCAAAUGAAUUAAGUAAUUAAUCGAUGGAUAUAUCUGGUUUUACCACCAAAAAGAACGACGGGACUUCACGGGUGGUGAAUCGAGUUCCUCGAUCCUAUGUAUCUAUAUAUUAAUUUGAUAUAUUUGUUGAACCAAUCCUAAAAAUGAUUUCAUGAGACCAUUGACUCGCCAGCAUCGCCGCCAUCAUUAGUCGAGGCACUGUUGUCCAUGUCGUUACUAUGUCUAUGGACCGAGCGGGUUGUUGAAUAUGGUCGAGAAGGUGUCUAUCACCCGACUCGAUUCUUUCUAGUGGUGCGGUUAAUGAUAUUGCCUGUCCCUUUGCCUUUGCCUUUGCACAUUGGACAAACAAUUGUGGCAGAUGAAAGGGUUUAAAAACCCUUUCCUAUGGUUCAAACAGUCAAAUUGACAGUUUGAAGUAGAGCAAUCUGAGCCCUUGAUCGAUAGCAGUCGAAAUCCGACCAUUACCGAUCGGUAUAGAUCGGUAAUAGUUGGAUUUCGAUUGUUACCAAUCGGUACAAAUCCCAUAUCGCCCUAUACGGGGUCAUGUAGCUAAUGGGUACUGCUCGGUAGAGGGCGAUCCAUGUACUGGUUCCCUGUCGGAUCGAUAUAUACCCCCCAUAUCGAGCGGUACAGCUCAUAACAACGAACCCUGAAAUGAAGUACAAACGAGGUGAUUAAAGUGGAGAGAAACUUUGGGAGUAUCUUGUGAUUGACAUGCUUUAUGGAUAAAGAGAAAAAAAUAAGAUACUCCUAAGAUGUCAUGCUUUAUGGAUCUUAAUGUUUCGUCGGGUAGUUAGAAAACUAUAUCUUACAAAAAUUAGUGUAGCUUACAUAAGAACAUUAAGGUGGAUUAUAGAAUUACUACAAAGAAUAAAAAAUGUCAUUACAGAGGUUAUUAUUAAUGUAAACCAUUUAAGAUGAUAACGUAUUCAAAGAAGAACUCUAUGUGCUAUGGUUAGACACAAUGAGUCCAUUAGAACUACUGGUGUGAGGAGAGUUUGAUGGAUAUUUAAGAAAACUUUAUUAGAAACAAAGAAAUGAUUCAUUACUUUUAAUUUAAUAGAAACACAACCCUCCAUAAAUCUCUAUGAUGCGAAAAGAAAGGUGUAGCUAAUCCCAAAUAAUUGCAACAUUGUGGGCUUGUGGCUUGUUGUUAUGGUUGAACUAAAAGCUACACUAUGUCAAACAUGGCAAGCUUUGUAUCUUAAUAUGGUUUAAGACAUUUAUAAUAAUUCUAGAAAAUAAAACAAUUUUAGAAUUAAUUUAUCAAUCAUCAUUAAUUCAUUAUACUACUUUAGCAUUAUUUAUACUACUAUAACAUGAUCUGUCCAAUUUUUUACCUUUAAAAAAUCAAUAUUAUUCUUGGGCUAUGAAAUGUGACAUUUAGAAUAUUUGAUCGUACCUUUGUAAUAAUUAUAUUACAACAAGGCCAUAAAAUCUCAAAUAAGUUAUAUGCAAAAAGUCAUAUGCUCAACUAAGUUAAAGAUAUUUAAAAUUUUAUUUAUAGUUUCUGUUAAAAUCUUUUUAAGUCUUCCUCUAUCUCUUCUCAUGUCAUUAAUAGCAAUCAUUUCACCUCUUUUAAUUACCGUAUAUGGAAGUCUGUAGAGCACAUGUCCUGUUCGUACCAUCUUCUUCCUUAUUUUAUCCUUUAUCAAAGUGAUACCUAAUUAUUUACGAAUAGAAAUAUUUUUUUUCCUAUCUUUUCUAAUAACUCUAUAGUCUAUACAUCGACCUCAACAUGCUCAUCUCAACAACACUAUAUAUAUAUGUUGUUUUUUAAAUGUCCAACACUCGGAUCAUUUUAGUCUAACCUUUGUAAUGAUUAUAUGAUAAUAAAAUGCAACAUUAUUCGAUCUUGAUUCCACCCAUUUUAAUCUUUUGAUUUAUUUCAUAUCUGAGUCCAAGCUAAAUAAUUAUUGUUGUUUGAAAAACAGCCAAAUAACAUGUCACUUUUUAUUAUUUAUUUCAAACUAGGUGUGGAUCUAGCAUUUCUAUUACUUCAUAAAGUUUUUUUCCAAGAAACAAAACUAGAAAGCAUCUAUUGAUUCACUAGGUGGGUAUAAAUAGUGCUCAUAGCAUCCACACUAAAAAAAGAAGCAAAAACUUCAGGCCAAUGGCCCAUCCGCAAAAAGGAUGCCCUGGUUGAAUUAACCAUUUUGGCCAGCCAAUCGGCAUUGGAAUUUCCUUCACAAUAGACAUGAGUGGUAUUGACUGAUUGGAAGUAGUGGAGUAAAUGUAGUACAUUCGGAAUUAUGUUAAUUAAUGACUAGGGAGGCUCAAUGUAGCCUGCUAAUAUGUCAGUGAUUGGUUUAUCAUCUGCCUCAGUAUGAACACGCUGAAAACCAUGUUGGAUAGAUAGCAUUAAGCCUUCUUUGAUGGCCAUAGCUCGUAGAAAUGGCUGCCCGCGCCUUGCAAGAACCUGCCACCUGCAAACAAACGGCGACCCAACUCAUCUUGGACCAAAAGAUCUGCUCCACCAGAAUUUGAACCAUCGCAAUAAGACUAUUCAAUCUUACCCAUCCCGCACUGGGUUUUUGCCAAGACACCGACAUCUCUGAAGAUUUGGAGCACACUCCCUCAGUAACAUUUGUAAUAGAGUGAUGGCUUUGGGAAGAUAAAGAAAGAAUGAAUCCGUUUAAUUUAUUAUUAGGAAUAUCUGUAAUUUAUUAGAAGAAUGUUACAAAAUAAUUUUGGCAGAAAAACAAACUGACGGUUAAUUCUGUCAUUGUAAAAUGCUAAAAGACUAGUUAUCUGUUAAUGAGUGACCCUUUUUUGCUUGUCAUUCUUUUACAAUGCUUAGUUUCCUAUUAAAUCAGAAAGCUAUAUAUCUACACAUUAAGGAUUUAGGUACCAGUUGUUCCUCUUCUGGUACAGUGUCAGAUUGGUGCAGUAUACCAUGCCCUUCCGCUGUGUAAAAGUAUAACAAGAUUAUUUGAAAUGUCGGUGUACUUCAGUGUGGUUGGUACUUGGUAGCAUACUAAUUGAGUUCGGACGAACACAUUGUGGUCAUUGUGGAUGGUACGGACAUUUUCGUAAAGAUGCUUGAUAAUUUUUGGUGCGUGAAACUCCAAUCAUGUGUUCAUUAAUGUGGAAUGCAACAUUUAAUGCAAGGUGAAAUGAUAGGCUGGGAGUGAUGGUGGUGCUUCUAUGGUACUGUUUUAUUUAAUUUUACAUGAUGUCACAUGGUUAAUUUUACAUGAUGUCACAUGUUUGUUAAUUCAUGCAAUACUCAUUGAACUGACUUGAUUUUCAGUGAUCGUGCAAGAGGUCUCAUUUUCACUAGCAUGAACUAUGAUCUUCAUAGUUAUAUGUAGUUUUUAGUCCUUGUUUGAGUUGCUUACAGUUGCUACAUGGUUUUGUAUGCCUUUCUUUACUGUUGCAUCUAUUGUAUCAAUAGGAUUUUUUUCCCUUUGCUCCCUACCAUACCAGUGCCCUUCCUUCUGACAUGCACACAUGGAAAACAACUUUAUUAUAGGAAGUCAUGGGGAUGGCCACCCUUCCAACACGGAUACUCCACUUGUGGCAUGGGGAGCCGGUAUCAAGAAUCCCGGGUGGUUGAUUUCUGAUAGCCUUUCUGAUGAUGGUUUCCGUUUUGUUGAUGAACAUAAACAUGAUAUGCCCACACCUACGGAGUGGGGGCUUAGAGGCAUUGAAAGAGUGGAUGUCAAUCAGGCUGAUUUAGCACCUUUAAUGGUAAUACUAUGAAUUCUUGAUUCAUUUAAAUUUUGUACCUUAGCAGUUGUUGCUAUAAUUUUCUUUUCACAUUAUUUCUUUAACAAAUCUAAAAAUUUGGCAGGCGACUAUUGUUGGAUUGCCAUGCCCGGUUAAUUCAGUUGGAAAUUUGCCAUUGGGUUACCUGAGUUUAAAUAAGGUUGGUUCUAUAACCUUCUCUUUUUCUUUUAUAUAGUACUGGGAUUUGCUGCAGUAUUAAUAAUAACAUGAUGGUACUUCAAUUGUUCUUUCAGGUCUUGUGAUAAUGAAGUUAUUUCACUUAUUCCAAGACAGAUAGUCAUCUUUUACUGUAAUAAGACAUUGCACUAUUUAUGUGUCUAAAUCAUUUUUCUUUCCUGGUUCAUUUUAAGUAGGCAGAAGAAGUUGAAGCUGUUUUCGCAAAUACAAAGCAAAUUCUUAAUCAGUUCCUCCAGAAGUCAAGUAUCCUACAUCUGAAGUGCCAUUUUGAGAAGAAUAAUGCACUUAUAACACAAAUUUAUUUUUGAGUUUGAUUGAUAGGCCAUAUAUGAAACUAUAAUCUCAAUUCAAAAACAGAUGGUUUUGUUUGUGAGUUCAUGGUAUGAUUACUGGUAAAGUCCAACCUAUUUUUCUAGAGUUUACAUUCUGUUACUGAAUUUAUUAUCCAUAAAUAUGAAGUUAUUUUGCACAUGCAUCUUGAAUCAAAAGUUUAUACAAUGAAGAAAUCUAAAUGUUGAGAGAACUGUGCAAAGAAAAUGACCUUAAUUUUGCCUUAAUUAUGAUUAUUCUUCUUAAUCGCCUUUAAUUCAAAGGAGAUAUAAAAUCAUGUAAGAAGUUGAAGCAUUGUGUUAUAUGCUUACUUAGUUACUACACGUUAGACCUUAAUUAUGCUGAAUCUACCUCACUAUGUAUUCCUCUGAUUACCCAUUUAACAUGGGAGAAUAAGCUCAUAAAUCAUGCAGGAAGUCAAUAUCCAAGCAGUCAAUCUAAACUAAUUUUUCCAUGUAAAAAUAGAAAUUCAUGCAAGAAGUCAAUAAUACAUUAUCAAUUUAAGCUAAUUUUUCUUAAAUACCUCUAAUCAAAUCUUAAUUUAUCAUUAGGUCCUAAUCAAUAUAUUUACUAAUAUUAUUUAGAUUAAUUACAUGAAAUGAUAAAGAAAAUAUAGAGAAAAGAUAACUGCCUUCAAUUAAAGAGUAAUUCCAUAAGAGCUCGAGUUUAAUCCCUCUUUUAUUCAAAUCAACUCUACUGAUUGCCGACUAGUUGGGAGAAAGAAUGAGAAUGAGCGAGAAAGGGAGUGAGCUUGAAAAUGAGUGAGAGUGAUUGAAAAUGUGGAAGAGAGGGACUUUCAUAAGCCUAAAAGAGCUCCCAAUAGUCAAAUUGACCGUUAAGGGCUGUAAGUGUAAUCUUUCAACCAGGCACCAAUCGAAAUCCAGCCAUUAUCGAUCGGUACCCAUCACUAAUGGUCGAAUUUCAAUUGUACUUUGUGGUGAGGCGGUGAGGCAUACCACGGUUGGUACACCUCACAAAUCACGUGUUUCAGCCGAAACGGGUUGGUCAAGGUUUUGGUCAGCCCUCGGACUGGUACAUCCCAUUUCUUACAAGGCGGCAAGGCAGUUCAUGGUGAGCCCUACCCAUUUUCUUUUCAAGUUUUUUUCUUCAAUUUGACUUCGCUUAUUAUAGGGUUAAAGGCAGAUGUUUAGUUAGGAAAUAAAAUAUUCGUUUGUUCUUUUGAUCCAGAGGGAAAAUUUGAUCUUGGUUCAUAGUUUUGUUUAUCAUAUAAGAAAAUAAUUGUAUGUUGAUCAUUUAUGAAGAUAUUCUUUUAUGGAUGGAACAGUGACAGAUUAGCUCUCUUAGGCUUCAACCUUUUCUGGUUUGGCACAUAGAUAUUGCUUCUAUUAAGCUAUUGGUGACUUAAAGUGGCCUGAUAAAUUCUGUAGCAAACUAGAGAGAUUGAUGCUUGAAGCCUUGUGAAGAAAUAUAAUGCUGCUAUUGUUUCAACUUGAUGUUUGUUGAAUAGCUUUUCAUUAUGAUCUUAUUCCACUACGUUGCAUUUACAUAUAACUUGUGUAUUUAUCCUGUUCCUGUUGUUGAAAGAUGGAUAAGAACAAAGAUACCUCUCAGAAUUGCCCACAUCUAUUUUGAUGUCCUUAAUCAGAUUUAAAGGGCUAAAGCAGCUGAGUUCGCUAUACUUCAGGCCAUAUAAGCCUUUGGCAAACUUUUCUUCAUUUCUUGACCAAAUUGAAGAUCUUAUAGCAGCAAGGGAAUACAAAGCUGCCUUGAAAACUUGCCAUAUCCUAAGGGCUAUGUCACUUGAGGGUCUUCAUUACUUCCAAACUUAUGAUUGGUUGAUGUUAAUGGCAACAAUCAUCCUUGGUUACAUUGGAUGGAUGAUGAAUUUAACACUUCAUGUUCUGCAGUCUUACACAUUUUUGGGAAACAUUUUCUUGAAGAAAACCCAAGAGUCUUCUCUUAGAAUCACCAAAAAAAAUGUAAGUUAUUAAAUGGUCGGAAAUUUUUGCCAAUGUUUAAUUCUGAUACCUUAUUCUAAUGUUAUGUUUCUAUGGGAAAAUCAAUUUCUUUUUCCCAUGAUCUUGUUAGUGCAGUUUUUGCAGCAUGGAUGAAAUAGAUGCCUAAGACACAACCUAUAUGAAUAUAGAUAAUCUCGACGUAUAAUGCAUAUGGAAAAUAAUUUAUAAUAUUUUUUGCUUUACUUUAAGUGUAUGUUAUUGUUUAUAUUGCUCUUAAACUCAAACUCAUUCAUGAUUAAUUGAUAUAUAUUUCGAUUGUAGACAUCAAUUUUCAUCCUAAAUUUUCAGUAAUUCUGCUUUAACUUGUCGCUACGUUAAGAAAUAAAAUGCUAGUAACACUGAUGUUCUAACUUAAGGUUCAAUUUUCUUAAAUGUAGCUUAAAUAGUGAUAGAUCUCAUGAGCAGGCAACAUUAUUAUACUCUUAUAUAUUCAUAUGCUAUAUCUUGAACAAACUUUUAAUUAAUUCUUCAUCUCGGACAUUCAUGUACAAUCAAAGGACACAUUGCUUAGAUUAUUUGAUAGCAAGGUAGGUGGGAUGUCAAUUGUUACAUUUACAGUGGUGGGAAGGUCAUUCAAUGUGAUAUGAACAUGUUCAAAGUAGAUCUAAUGAUUUUGUGAUUGGAUGAGAUAAGUCAAUUUGGAUCAAUGGUGUGAGAAUAGGUAGAAGGCCUAAGAAAACUCUAUUUAGAGCUAAAUGACAGGAGAAGAUCCAAGUAAUUGGUAACAAGGGUUGCCUUUUCGCUUGGGCUGGUACAAAACAAGCGGGUACUUAUCGGUUUGGGCAUGAACCGGUCCAUGGACCGCCCUUGUUUUGUGGCAAUUUGCUCUAACCCAUUUAAACUUUUAGGACUUGCGUUCACAAGCCCUCAUCACCCAAAAGAGAGUGUGUUUGGCCUCAUUCUGCCGCCCAUCGCCGCCUCGUGCCUCCAUCCUCCUCUUCCUCCACUACCUCCUCCUUAUCCUUUCUCUUCUUCCUCCUUCCCCUUCCUCAUUCUGCUUGUUCCUUCUCUUCUUCCACCGCCUCCUCUUCCUCCUUCCUCUUCCUCUACUACCUCCUCUUCUUCCUUCCUCUUCCUCUAGUACCUCCUCUUUUUCCUUCCUCUUCGUAACACCAGUACAUACCGGUACUGACCAGUAUGUACCAGUCUGAUCAGGUCACCGAGAUGGUCCGGUACCCGAAAUAGCAAUCCUUGGUUGGGAUAUCACAUCUUAUUUUUGUUGUUGUUGCUGCUCCAGUUGUACAGUGUUGUCUUGAAUUGGGUGACAUCUCACAUUACGGAUCUCAACUCUCUAAAAAUUGAAGAAAACCAAUAUUUUAAGAGAUGCUGACCAAAGCUGCAAAGUCCAUGGCCUGAUCCUUGUUCAAAUUGGUAUGCCUUGUUAAAUGCAAUAAGGCAUUCCAUGAUCCUCUGCUCUUCAUAUAUAUCACAUAACCUAUUCCGCAUGUUCCAGAAAGUUAAACAAUACACAAAAUGGUGCCCAAGAAUCUUAAUGCUUUGAAACACAAAACACACGAACUUGUAUUGGUGACAUAGAACUUCAUCAUUUCCAAAAGGAUAUGUUAUCACAUUAAGAAUCAGAGAACAAAUGGCUUGAGAUUAAAGGGUAUUCUAGAUUUCCAAAUUCUUUCAGCCAAAUGAGACAUGUACAGAAGGGUUUCCAUACAUGGUCAGAUUAGGAUCAUGAGCCGAACACAAAGUACAAAUAUUUACUGGUAACAUCAAACUUCAUGAUUUGCAAAAGAUUGUUGUUGUAAUUAUAUUAUCAGAAUGCAAGUGACUUGAGCUUGUUAGAUAUUUUAGAGUUUCCAUAUAUGGAUGAUUUAAAAUUAGGAUCAUGAACUUGGUGAAGGUACAAAGCUUUUCAAGAUAAGUCUAUCGAACUGCAAAACUAGAACAUUUAAUCUCUGACUCUCUUCUACUAUUCUGCCCGAUAAUUCCAACUUUUCAAAAUAUCUAUCUCUUGAACUGAAAAGGAGAAUUCGACAAUAUAAUUCCUCAUUCUUAAAUAAAGUGCAACUUGCAUCAAACUUAAAAGUUAACCUUUUUUCUCACCAAGAUACCAGAAUGCAGAUGCAAUAUACCAACAAUCGCAUUCUGUAAUUGAUUAGGACUAGGAUUCUUCCUAGUUACGUCGAUUAGAAGAAUUCUGGGUCAAAGCCAGGAAGCAUAUCCUGCUACUCACUGGAGAACAGAAAUCUUUAUUCUAUGAAAAUGGAUGCUAACUGUAAACCAACCAAGCAAAAUCACACAUUCAAAAGGAAUAUAUUAUGGAUCCUACUCCUUUGUGGUACUAUCAAAACAUCCCAUUGUAAAAGUGAACCUAGUAUCCCCGUAUUUUUAACCAGAGGGCAUCAUAGAGUUGUGAUCACCAACCAAGCCUGAGUAAGGAAAGCACAAAUCAUAAAAAUGAACAACAUCCUCACAAAAUAAAUGUAAUCCUAAGUUUUUCUGGAUCAUAGAGAUGUGAAACACCAAAAUUCUUACCCUUAAAAUAAAAGAAAUACAUAUAAAGAAAUAAGUGGAUGGCGGUUAUCAUUUUGGUACUUCUUCCAGUUUCUUCCAUUGUUUUUCUUCAGAUUCACUCUUCUACUUCCCAUAUUUCAUCCCUGAGCCUCUUACUGAUUGUCAGCAAGUCUAUUAAGAUUUUGUUACUGUUCUAUUUCAUCCACUUUGUAUUAUGCACAUGUUAAGUUUACAGAUAAAAUUAUGGUAGAUCUGUGAGACCAUCAUACUAGUGGCCACUAAAAAAGACCUUGGGACCAGUUGCCACUAAAAAAGACCAAAGGAAAAGAAAUAGGAAGUCGGGCCUAGGCAUAGGAACUUUUGUUGAAAAUCUGGAUCCAUUACCCAAUCAUAAAUCAAAGUCAGGUUCGAGGUUAGGAAUGUGGAUUUUGGACAAACCAGAACUUAAUUGCUAUAUCAACAUUAAAUUGAUCGAACUAGAUUUGGUUUAUGUUUUAUUCUUAUUAAUGAAAUUGUAAGUCAGUUAUUCCUAUUAUAUUUGUUUGUUGAGAAAUUUGGAUCAAACCAGGUUGAGAUUUGAUCAAUUGAGAAAAUCAAGGCUGGUUAAAUGUAUAGUUUAUCUCCAUAAUUGAUCAUUUGACGAAAAUUGGUACCUAUUCAGGUUAGAUUCUACUUGUCUAAAUAAACUAGUCAAAUUGUGAACAUGUUGUGAUGUCCGAGAACUAGGUCUAGGUAUAGUUUAUCAAUUGUGAAAAUCAGGUUUUGAUUUGGUCAAUUGAGAAAAUCAAGGCUGGUUAAGUGUAUAGUUUAUCUCCAUAAUUGAUCAUUGGUGAAAAUUGGUACCUCUUCAGAUUAGAUUCUACUUGUCUAAAUAAACUAGUCAAAUUGUGAACAAGUUGUGAUGUCCGAGAACUAGGUCUAGGUAGGAUCUGAAUCUGGCAAUUUAUAAUUGUUUAAAAUUUGUUACACCUACUAUUUUUUAUUGUAAUUGAUUGGAUUUGACCUCUAUUUUGUUUCCAACUGUUCUGAUAUGGCAAGUUGUAAACAAUAUAUAGUCCUUCCUUUUAUAUGAAUCCAUGCUUUCUGCCUUGUACACACACUAAUAAUGUAUCUCGGAACCUCUUAUUUUUUACUUGUAUAUUUGGCCUUUUCUAGUUAAUAAUUUUUUGUUUCUAGAAAAAAUAAUCUUUAUUAUCUUGCAGGUAUAUCUGGGUGGAUGCCUGUUGAUGAGUUUAUUGUCUGUUAUUCUUUAUCUGGAGAAUUCUCCUCUUCUUUACCAUGCCUAUAUAUCAAUGACAGUGUUCCUGUGGACACAAAUUCUUUCUAAGCUCCAACUUCUAAAUGCUAUAUGGAAAGAAUUGUCUGCUAGAAAUUUUAUAUCGAAUAUGAAGCUUUUAUCUGUUCUCGUGAUGUCGUUUAUCAUUCUUGAAUUUCUGGUAUGUUGCUAACAUCUGUUAUCCAACUUUUGACAAACAUGCAAGUAAAUCUGCAUAUUGAGUUUCAAUUAUGCUGGUACAGGUGGCAAGCUUUUUCAACAGGAAGUUAUAUACUUGGUUUUUUCUCAUUGCUGGGAUACUUGCUGCAUUACAUUUAUUUUUUAUUGCCUCAGGACGACAUAUAAUGGCUCUUUACUUAUGGUCGUCCUGCUGGUUCUUGUCCAUGUUCACGUUGAUGCCUGCAGAAAUCCCUGACAAUAACCCUUUAGUGUAAUGCUCAUACCUCCUUUUCAGUUUCCUUCUAGAUUUUUGUGGUAGUAACUAGUAAUUACUAUCAGGAAAUGUCCUUCUCGUUUUUUUUCCUUAUUCUUGGGGAAAUUUUUUGCAUGCUUGAGCUAUACUUUACAAUAUUUGCAUAUCUAAUGACUUUGAAAUUUUGCUGUUUUUUCAUUAUCUUUUAUCUGCUUGGAUAACCUGAUUAAUUUAUAAUUUCUAUAGAAUAACUGCUUUAGCGUAUAAUUAUGUGAUAUACUCUUGUGCUAGAAAGGAACAGAACAGGGAACACUUUCAGGAGAAAAAGAUAUAAUAAGGUUCCCAUUUUUAUGAUGCUCUGACUUCCACAAAUGGAGAUUGUUACAAAAUGAGAUUUGUAAUUGACUGUAAAUGAGUGGUUCUGUUAAACCUUUUCUUUUUCUGACCAACUGGACUUCACAUUAGUUUAGCAAUAUUAUGCACCACAGACAUCUAUAUUAUUAUAUAAUGUGAAAUAGGAUCUAUAGAGUAUAGGCCAUGACGAGCGUUAAGUCCUCAUCCAAUGGGCAUGCUGUUUACAUCCAUGUGGACAGUGCAUUCCCGUUCUGCAACCUGUUGUCUUUUCUUUUUGGCUUUAGCUAUUUCUUCUCAGUAUCAUCUCUCAUGUGCAAGGCACAUCCUUGAGACUAAUGGGUGCUGAUGUGAAGAAAAACCCAUUUUGCUACUGUGAUUUGUUCAUUGAGCAUUGCUUCUGGUUUUACAAGUUGUUAAAAAAAAAAUUCUGAUUUUUAUUUUAAGGUUUUAAUUAACUAGUGUCUUAUUGCAAAAGAAUUUACAGAGAGCUUACAUCAAAUGAAUCAAACAUAUCCCUAGGAACGAUUACAAUUUAGUGGAAGCUUGAUCUAAAAGCUUGUUUCUAGAAGCCUCUCAUAUAACCUAUGCUUUCUUGCAAAUCUUUCUAAGAAAAAUUGUUUAACACGUCAUUUUGCUCAGAAAAAAACAUUUGAAGGAAUAGGUAGGUGGAGGAAGAAAUAAGAAAAGAACAUGCAUUCCCCAUUCAUCGCUGUUGCCAUUGCCAUCAUCACGAUCCUGUUCUUGCUAACUUUCAUAUUUGCACACGCAUAUAUCAUAACGACACAUAAGCUUAUAUGCUACUAUAUUAGGAACCCAGUGAGGGAUGAAUUGAUUAAUGUUGGCCUGACUUGGUUCCAAUGCUCCAAAAGAACUUACAUAAAUGUGUUUUUGUGCUGAUUUAGCUAACUAGUCACAGUAGUGUCGGAUUCAUUGAUAUGGCUGCUUCAAGACAUUUGAUAAUUUUUUAUUUGAACUAGUUGUUUCAUCUGCCAGCAAUUAUUCUAUGCUUUUAAUUAGUCAGUUAUUCUCUGAAUGAUGUGCUUCCAAGAUAGGGGAAGCUUUUAACAAAAUGAAUGACCGAAAUAACCAGAAAGCUUUUGCAGAUUGGACGAUCUUUGGGUUUCUUUUUAAUCCAUUUUGAGAUGGUAACCUUCCUGUUUGCUGUUGGGCUCAAUUAAGUUGGGUCAUUUCCUUCUUUUGACAUGGACAAGAAAACCCUAUUAUUGUAGACUUGGUGCAUAAUCUUUGCAUUGGUGAUCUGCUAUUGGCCAUAUCCAUCCACAUGCUCAUUUUUUAAUAUAAUCAUCUCAAUGGAGGAGUAUAUUUCAUUCAUUAACAAUUGUUAACAGUGUUUCAGAUGUUAUCAUCUAUUCUUUCUAAGCAGGAUAGAUUAAGAUGAGUACUUUACAGGUCAUUGCCUUCUUAGAGUCCAAUUCACUUCUUGGAAACUUCUGAUCAGCUAAAUGAUUAAGAAGUUAUGAUUUCUGAUUUGUGCAAGCUUCAGAAAUGGUUGCUUUAUUUUUUAUUUAAAAGCUUUUGCUACAAUUCUGUAUCUUGAAAUAUCCAUAUUCAGAUUCUUGCCGGCUUGCAAAGAUCAGCACAUAUCAUGCCAUUCCAUAUCGUGCUAGUGGCUUUGAUGCACACACAAGUCAAUUUACUGGCAUGGGGUAUGUUAGUAUGCUGCACAGUUUCAAGUUAUGGUCAGUUUGGUGUGUGUUGACUGGUAUCUACCAGUCCAAGCAAAGACUGGUGCCAAACAAUACGGUCUGACAUUGGUCAAUAUUAUUUUUGUGAUAUUUUAUGGGGAUACCAGACUGUACGCCUCAGUAGUCUGUUAGAUUUUUUAAACCAGUUUUGGAUCGAGAUAUAAAUUCCUGCUAUACUUUACUUGGUAUCAGUACCAAGGGUUGCAGUUUUGGGUACUGAACCUGUGAUGGUCCAUAGCCUGAUGGUAUCAGUCCAGUUCAUGCCGGUGUAAUGGUACAUGAUAUAGGAGAGGAGUCAUGGGAAAUAUGGCUGCAAUCGAUUGCAAGUGGCUAGCGAGCAGCAUCACAAGUUGUGGACACACAUAUCUAAGUGGCAUGCAAACCCUAAGUGCCCUUGAGAAAAUAAAAGGAAACUGGACUGGACCGGACUGCCUGAAGAUGGGCAGUACACAUCUCGAAUCCUGCCCAUAGUAAAUACUGGCCAGUAAAAACUGACGAAAUCAAGUUCCUUGAUCAGAACACUCCUGUCUAACAGAAUAGGAAGUUUGAAGUUUGGUGAUGAUUUUUCUACUACAACUCACUUGUCAUUUCUCUGUUAUCAUAUAUCUGUCCAAGACAUUAUCUUAGAGUCACUUUGUUCCUUUGUUUUAUGUACUCUAAGACUGUAGUACUCAUUUUUUGCCUUCUGAAUUCAUAGAACCAAAAAGUUCCAUGUUCUCAACUUGUUAGUUACUUCAAGCUAGUUUAAAAUUCACAUUAGCUUAAAACAAUUUGGUUAUCUAAAAUAGUUACUAUGGUCUCUAUUCGUAUAUAAAAAUUUUAAGCUGUGCUUGCCAGAAAAUUAGUUAUUUGAAGAAAAUUUAAGACAAUAUAUUAUCUGGGAACUAUAGUGUGCAUUUUGGAUGGUCAUGGAGAUCUAAUAGAGUUGACAAAUGCAGAGUUGCUAGUGGAGGUCUGAUAGUAUUGAUUGGAAUGGCUUCAAGGUGGAUUCAGUCAAGUAGUCGAGGUGAUAACUUCAAGUUAUACAUUGUUCAAAUGAGUGAACAAACGUCUCAAUUCCAUAAGCUCUUCCUUGUUCAGGUAAAUGACGAAGAAAAAUCUCUGCUAAGUUCUCUAUUGGUAUUUUAUUGUCUGAUUGCAGACAUUUCUUUGAUAAAUUGUGCUAAAUGUGUCUCUAUUUAUGUGUUAGGCUUCUUUAGUUGUGGUAUCAUCCUUAAUGGUGUGGUUAUCCACUUCCCACAGGGCUCUGAAGAAAGAACUUCUCCCAAUGCACCAGUUAAUAAACUGGUCCAUAGCGGGUAAUUCUGAAAUUUGAAUACAUUAUUGAUUGUCUAUUCAUUUCUUUCACGUUUGAUUAUUCUAGCUAAUUUAGUAGUAUUUUCCUUGUGAUAUUGUACCAAAAUUCUGGUGCAUAUUAUUUUUAUCCUAAUGAGAAGGAAUCAAAUGAUAACUAAUUAAAAAAGGUCUUCCUAAUUCCUUGUAAGACUCGCUAAAUGUAUUAAAAGGAAAACUAAAGGCUGGAUAUUUCCUCAAGGCUUAAAGUUCUUCCCUUCAGGUUGCAAUUUUGAAACAAGUAACAAAGUAAAAAAGGAACAAAGAACUAUAACAUGUGAAUCAAGCCAAUCCCCAGCACCUUAAGGCAUUUACUGAAAAUGGGUCUUGAGGUCUUCUAUGGUCUUGGAUUUAAGUUGGAAAGGUGUAGGAGGUUAGCAGAACUUAGGUUCAAAGGUGUUGCUAGCAUAUUCUGCCUCUGCUGGCAUCUAGCAAAAUAUGUGUAGUCAACAUGGAGCACAAUUGUGUCGAAAUGGGGGUGCCAUUGGCACCAAAUAAAAUUGCACACACAAAACCAAAAAUAGAUACUGCGAGCUAAUAAAUAACAUAUUUGGUGAGGGACCUUAUCUGCUCCCCUCUAGCCUUGAGAUAUGAAAUCAAACUAUUAUUGUAAUUUUAUUAAUCAUAUAAUGCAACAAAUAGCCAUAAUAUCCCAAGUUAGCUUCCCCAAUCCUUUCUUUAAUUUACCUCUGUUUAGGGCAAUAUCAUUGAUCAUGAUAAUAUUUAAUAUACAACAUAAAACAAUAUGUCCAAUCAUAGUUGUGUCGCACCUAUAAUCAAAACAUCAACAUUCAAGAAAAAAUUUCGCAAGAUGUUUGCAUAAAGUUUUCUUCAAAUAUACCAGAGGUAUCUAAUAAUAUAUUUUUUUGGCAACAUGUACUUCAAGGAAGUGUUGCUUGAAAUACUGAUGCAUAUCAUUACAUAUAUGCAACAAAUAUUUUAUAAUAAUUAUAUUCGAUAUCCAAUAUAAAUACUAAUGCAAUUUGAAGUAUCCAUCUUUCAUAGCCCUAAAGGGAUUUCAGGUAUUGUGUUGGUCAAAAAUUGAGGUGUGACCAAACGAAGUUGAUCUAAUUUCCUCUUAUAUGGUUGAUUUGGGCCAAUAUAAGCUAAUACAAUUGUAGGGAUUGGACCCAACAAGGAACUUAAUAGAAAUUGAGCAAUUGGCUCAGUAAGAACCGAUGCCGGCCCACAUUGUUAGGUCUCAGACUUGGGUCAGUUUAGUGAUAUGCCUCAGACUACUCAGCUCUAAAUCACUGACGAGAACUGUAGAGUACUUAAGAAAAAUUGAAUUUAAUAGAAGAAUAUCUUGUCUCAGUCUUAUUCAAAAGGAUAAUGUACAUUAAAUCGUCUUUCUAGAAUACGGCCCACAUAUUCUGUGAUAUUACUGUUGCUUCAAACAGUCAUUGAUGAAUAAAUGCCUUGAUUUCUCAUAUCUUAAUAUUCAGUAUAUUUGGCAGCUAGCACCAAAGAGACAGAUGACACAUGCUUUUUGUUACCUUUCUGAUAUUAUUUAUAAACUUUUCGGUAUUUUGAAUUUGUAAUUCAUUGAUUCUAAGUAAUUUAUUCUGCAUCAUCUUGACCUUCUUGUCAUAAUUCAUCUCUUUGAUAACUUGAUAAUCUCAAAAUCACUAUGCUAAUAAUCCAUUACUUUGUGUAUCCACAGCAUUAUCAAAAUAACCAAGGCACUUAUUAUUGAGGAAACAGAAAACAUAAAAAGUUAACAUGAUCUAGUAACUAAGCACCAAUUGGAAGUGUACAUUGAAGGAGGGCAUUGAGGCCUUUAAGAGUAUGUUAGAUGAUGGCCAGGGUGAAUAACGUAGCAAUGAUUGGGUUUGUUUUUUAAUCAACUAGAUCUAGGUGUAGCAAGAACCAAGCAUUGCCAGUUUGCAUACUUAUUGAUUCCUGGCUAGAUUGGUAUGUACCUGUCGAUACCUGUGUACCGACGCAUGGUACAGCAGUACAUCUCAGUGUUUCGAAGAAGAAGAAAAAGGAGAGGAAGGCAUAGUCGAGAAGAGGAUGAAGGAGGAAGGCAUAGGAAGGAAGAAGAAGAAGCGCUGGAGGAAGAGGGAGGAAGAGGAAGAUGGAGAGGAUGCUAUGGAGGAAGAGAUGGAGAAGAAGAGGAAGGAGGAAGCGUAUCUAUUGACAGUGCAUGGUGGGCUGCGAACAACAAUGAGUGGCAACACAAGGCGAAAGGGCUCGUGAACGCGAGCCCUAAAGUUUGUUUUUUAAAAUUUUUAUUUAAAUGGUUUGAACCAGAAUGCCCGAAAUGGAGGCGGCCCGCGCAUCAGUUCAUGCCCAGACGUGUACAUACCAUCCGUUCCAUAUCGGCCCGGGCGAAAUGUCAAACACUAGCAAGAACAAGUGUUUAGGACUUUAGGUCAUAAGGAUGACUUUAGCAAGAUAAGACUGUAUUCAUCUUUAUGCCCAUAUAGAAACAUGCAUGAGAAAAGCGAGAACAGUAUCUUUUCUAUUGCUAACAGCAACAUCUAUGUUGCUAGUGUUUCUUCAAUUUUGCUGGUGUUUAUGCACUAUUUGAAAAUUUAUUCAACUUUCAAUUUUAUUUAUUAUUUUAGUGUCUUGAAUUUGCUAAGCUGCCUUAGUGUUUUUUUAUUUUUUUUCUUUUGCUAGUAACCACAAAAUUACAAUCUGCAAUUCUAGAUGUUAAAACGUCUUUUGCCAUUAUAUUUUUGCUGCAUGUAUAAAGGUCAAGGUCAGAUUAUGCAUUUUAGUAUUAGCCAGGAGAGGCAGAGGAAGAAUCGAGGCUUGGUUAGAAGAAAUAAAAAAGUGACUCAAUGGCUCUUGAAUUAGUUAGGUUAAGUUGAUCUUAUUAACAUGCAUAAUAUUUUAACUGAACAGAACUUUUAAUUGGGUUUUGUAAUGGUUGCUGUCUUUUUGUAAUAUUUUAUGCCAUCCUAGUUGAUAUAUACCUUAAAGAAGUGCUUAUGAUGAAUGGUACCAACUCAAGUUAUUGUUUUCUCAACAGUUGUUUCAAUGAUCUUACCAUUGUUUUCCCCACCUAGUAUCCUCUCUCGUCUCACGUCUAUCUUCUUGGGUUUUGCUCCACCAUUCCUGCUACUGUCCAUUGGGUAAGAUAGCCUCUUUCUCUGUAUCAUGCUAAAUACGGUCAGUCCUACUUUUUAGCAUUUGAAAGAUAAUCUGAUCUUUUGCAUAUUUCAAUCUUUCUACAGAUAUGAAGCUGUCUUUUACAGUGCACUUGCUCUGGUACUCAUGGGAUGGAUAUUGCUCGAGUGUGUGAAUCUAUAUUCUGCUGAAUGCCAAGGACCUUUACAUGUGAGAAACCUGGAGGAUAACCCAACUGGUGGUGGCUAUAAUGCAAGAUAUUUGCAGCUUUCUGAUAUAAGAAUUCCUCUCUUUUUUGUAAGACUCUCUACUUAUGCUCUAUGCAUUAAAGCAAAAAGAUAUAUACAUUUUUAGAAUGGAGUAUCAGAUAGUGAUAUUUAAUUCAUUUAACAAUGGCUCUUAAGAGAUUGUGCUAAGUUACAUCUGUAGUUCUUGUAGAUAAUUACAUGUUUUAGAUAAUCAUGGUAGCCAUCUCAGUCCUAGCAGAUAAUCCUCCCUCUUGCAAGCACCUACUAUUCAGCAUUUGCUUUUUUUGAUGAGAAAUCCCAUCCAUAGCACAAAUUUUCCUGGUCCUGUGAGUCACUUUAAUCUUCAUGUAAGUUUACAGCUCUCAUCCGCUCCAAUGUUUCUCUUAAAUUUGAUGAAGGCCUUUGUCACAAAUUUUGUGCAAGACGAGCAUUAGUAUUUUCUGUUAUCCACUAUUGAGAAUUUUAUAAUGAGAUCACAUUAUACAUAUUAUUAAGAUCACUACUAGUAGAGCAGUUGAAAGAUUUAAAGAACUCACUAAAUGCACUAUUUACAAAUUUAUGGAAAACAUUUUGUUGCCUUUCACCAAUUAGAUUAUUUUCUCCGGUCAUAUCAUUAUAUGGAAAAGCACAUCUACCAAGGCUGCAAUUCAAGUGGCUUGGUUCAGUUUUUAUUCAGCCUAAUCAUGUUCUGUCUUCUAUGCCUAUAAGGCUAUUACCUAACCUGAACCAGUGUAUUUAAGCAAGAUUGAAGCAACCAUGUGGCUUGGAGAGAUGAAGCUUAGGGUGAGAGUAUGUUGCAUGGGAGUAGGGGACCAGGGAAGGGAAUGUGAUAAGUUGACAUGAGGUUUGACUAAUCUUGGUUGGCCUCAAAGUGUUGCAACCUAAUAUGUUUAUUCUACAAUUUAUCUACUUAGAGGUUUUAGGUAGUGCUUUUUUAAUCUCCUUCAGGAAAUAUGAAACAGUGAAAUAUGCCAACUGGGAAGUGUAUGUUUUUGGUGCUAUGAAUUAUUGGUAGCUUCAUUUAAAUUUCAUCCAUAUUUUUGUUCAAUAAGUUUACAAGGCCUGAUUUCACUAUUUAUUGACAAGAUACUUGAUGAACUCAUGGCUGCCAUUGACUAGCUGUUUUUUUACAUUUGUAGUUAUGAGGCAAGUACCCUUUUAUGGUGCAUAAUUUAUGGUAGUUUCCUGCAUUUGGUAGUUGUUUAUUGAAAUUUGGGUUAGUCCUCUCAUGAUGUAUUGUCUUAUGGAACAUGAGAUAUGCUUCUUGAAUGCUUUAACUGCUAUAUUUAAGUAAUACAUUAUUCCAUAUAUACUGAUUCUGUGGUUUAUAAAUACCAUCUAGAAAUGUAUAUACUUAGUAACUCCACUAAACUGAAAGACUUGUCCCCUGUCUUUUGCCUUGUUCUAUUUAGACCAUUCAGCAAGCAAGUUCUGAAUGAGUUCUGUGAUCUUCUUGAUUUGAUGUAUAUAUUCCGUCUUGUAAAAAUAAGGAACAAUGUAUAUGAUUCUAUGCAAACUUCUGCAAUAAGAGAAGUCAAAUAUUUGUAUGUAUGAUGAAGUGUGUCGAGGACUUUGUGAUUCCUAAUUUCAUGCACUUCUUGCCUCUGGAAAUUUCUGUUUCCUCUUUAUACAUCUUUUUGCACUGUCAAUUAUUGUUCACAUCCAGCAAUCAAGUAAAGUUGGAACUAGUUCAUCGGUGCAAACAAAAAUAAUAAAUUUCUCCAAGAGGAUAUGCAUAUAGUUUCCCAAUGUUUAUUCAUGUUAAAUUAUGCAGAUGGUCUUGUUCAAUAUUGCCUUCUUUGGAACUGGUAAUUUUGCAAGUAUUGCAAGCUUUGAGAUUUCAUCAGUUUACCGUUUCAUUACAAUCUUCAGCGUAAGCAUUCCCUAACUUCUCACUUACCUAAUGUAAUUGUUUGGUAAUUCUGUUAUUAAAUAGUAAAUACUCAUUUCUCACUAAUGCUAAUCUAAUUCUUUUCUGCUUCCAGCCGUUUCUAAUGGCAGCACUGCUUAUUUUCAAGUUGUUCAUUCCAUUUUUGCUUGUCAUGUAAGUUCAACUUAAUGUAUCAUAUAUAACUGAAGUUCGAAAAUUCAUUCACCUAAUGGACUUUCUUUGGCUGAAAUGGGUGGAUUUAUUUGUUGAUUUAUAUCUAAGCUUCUACACUUGUUCUUUUUGUACAAGUAUGACAUAGUUCUGUCAAUUGAAAUUUCUUAAUGUUGUUGUAUGCAAAUGCUAGCUUUAUGUCUCAAUUAUCUUUUUUCAAUUUUUUCUUGCUCCUGUACAUAUGAGCAUUCCAGUUGGCUCAUGUAACUAGCAUUAGAUUUCUUGGGUCUGUCUCAAAGUUAGUUUCAGACUUCAGGAACAUCUAGACCCCAUAAUAUUUUCUUUUUUUUUUUUCGAAAACAGUAAAUCAGCUAUACUACUUUAAUAAUCUAAUGCAACGCACACUUUACCCAUCCAUGCACAGGAGUCCAGUUCUCAGGAGUGAAGACCAAUUAGGUCUCCAUAUCUUAUUACAUUUACAAUUUUUAGUAUAUGUAGCUAACCAAUGUGCACACUCUGUAGAUGUGGGAUUUACCUGCUUAUAGUAAGCCUCCAUGGUGGCUGGUCUUUCUUUGUUAAGGAUUUUGACUAACAUCCCAGCAUCCAUUUUAAUUUCAAUUCUUUAAAAUCCUCCUUCAGCAUUUCCUUCUUUGAUUACCGCCAAUUCAUUUAGAUCCCUUCUAUAUAGCAAGAAGUAUUCCUUCUCUGAUUACCACCAAUUCAUUAUACUAACAGCCAUGUUCUGAAAUGAACCUGCAUCAUUCCAUGUGACAAGUGCCAUCAUUUAAAUGCAAUAAAAACCCAGCUCCCCGAUCAUUAGUUCGUUCAUUGUAAGCACCAUCAGUAUUAAUCUUGCACCAACCAUUAAAGGGUUGGAGCACUUUACUAUAAUGUGACAUAUCGCACUUUAAAUUACACCAUAUCGUUUUGUAAUUCUAUAUAUAAUCCUUUUACACUCUCCUUGAGGUAGGAUUUGCUUCAGGCAUGAUGGUUUUGAACUUUUGAUCUUAUGUGAUCCAAGAUUUUUUUCCUUUCAUAUACAAGUUCAAGGAUAUAUGCUGAGUUGCAGUUCUCUUUUUUUUGAACUUUUGAACAUAGAACUAUAGCUUGAGUCUCGAAAGUAAUGGAGGAGAGUGUUAAUUGUUUGUUAGGAUAUAUAGGUGUAGAAUAAUGAAAUAUGGUUCAACCAUGUUGCCCUCUAAUAGUUGGUGUGUAUCAUGCCAGUGGUUACUGGUGCUGCUUGUAGCUAAGUGUCAACUGUCAUGCUUACAUACCGUUGUUGAUGCAUGCAUAUUAGCAAAGGUGUUGGUACUGUGGCUUUUUUCAUGACAAAUUCAGGCGACAGGAAAUCUGCAUGUCCUCAUGUUGUGGCAAUGAAACCCUCUUACGGAAUUUCAUCUUUUAGCAAUUGGUGAAAAAAAUAUGAUAUUGAGCAUCAGAAGUGAUUUUUUUAUUCAUUUUUAUAUACAUAUGGAGUUUUGAAUUUGCUACUUAUAACUGCACUUUCCUGGAAAGGGAUCAAAAUAACAUGAGCUUUUAUUUUAUGAGUUAUUUUUUCCCUUUUUUGGUUAUGGGUACAGCACAAAGAUACACAUCAAGACUAUCAUUAAUUUUUAUCUGCAGAUCCUGGAUUACCAUUUAACAUGUCUCUGUAUAAGCUGUUCCUUAAUAAUAAGUUCUCAUCUAGUUUCUUUUAUAUCAAUUUGAAGAAUCCAAUUGAAUAAGAAUUAAAUUUGUGGAAAUAACUAGAUAUUCUUGGUGUGUAUCUUUCUAUUUUGGUUGCGCUGUCACCUGAAUAGUCAAGGAUUGUAACGUGGAUAAUCUUUAUAUUGCUCAAGCUAUUUAAAUAGAACUUUUGUUUUGUUGCUGUUUUGACUCUUGUUUAGUUAUUACACAAAAACUGUCAGUUAUACCUGUGAAACUUUGUAAUAUUCUGAAAGCAACUUGUUAUUGUGGUUCUUUACUUCCUCUUCCUGUCUCAUUGUUCUUUGCUUGCUGCAGAUGUGUCUUUAGUGCAAUAUCCAAGCUUAUUCGAGUUCCAAGACUUGGAUGCUAUUUUAUUGUUAUAAUAUUUUCAGAUCUAAUGACAAUUCAUUUCUUUUUCCUGGUAUGCUGCUCUUCCUAUUUCACCAUGUAUAUCUGUAGUAAUUUUGUGUUGUCUUUGGGGGUUUUAUUAUUGUACUUUGUAUUAUAUUACUGUAGUUCCAGUGUAGAUUAGAGCAUUUCAUUUCACACAUUCCAAUUAUAGCUGGCAGUUUUGCAGUGUUUGAUAGGCACUUGCAUAGUUCAUAUGCUAGGUUCUUUAAAAGACAUGCAAUCUGCACACCAAUCUAUGGUAGCUUCUUUUCUUUCUUGACUAACAUAUACACCUUUCAUGCUGAUGUCAAGUCAUGAACUCUAACUAAUAUGCAGGUUUUCAAGGUUCACUAUAUGAAUUAAUUGGUGAACACAAAACCACUGAAGUUAAGGCAGAGCCUCUGUUCUUUAUAACAUUAUAUAUUUUCACUUGAAAUGUGUUUUCUCAUAGUCAAAUGCUGCCACUGUAUCUUUACUGAAACUUGGACACUUCGGCUUUCCAUACUUGAUUAGGCAAAGAUCACCUACACACACACAUGAUUAGGCAAAGAUCACAAACACACAGGCAGAUUGUUACCUCAGUGGUUCUGAGAUCACCUACACACAGGUGAUCUCAAAACCACUGAAGUUAAGGCAGAGCCUUUGUUCUUUAUAACAUUAUAUAUUUUCACUUGAAAUGUGUUUUCUCAUAGGCAAAUGCUGCCACUGUAUCUUUACUGAAGCUUGGACACUUCAGCUUUCCAUACUUGAUUAAGCGAAGAUCACCUAUACACAGGCAGAUCAUUACCUCUUUUUGUACUUCGUAUCAAACAGUGAGAAGCUGGGAUUGGGCCCCCUUUCACAUUUAAAACAGAGAGUUGGCAUGAUCUUAUCUGCAAAGAUGUAGAAGUGAUGAAUCAUUUGAGGGAUCCAUGAAGAUUGCUAAUUAAGAUAUUGUUGUUUGCCAUAUAAUCUACCAUCUUAUGACAGUAAUUGACCAUGUAUUAACCUGCACUAAAAGUUAAAUGGGGACAUAUAUGUUCAUGAAUAAUAUACUUGGCAUAUUAAAGUGAAAUAUUUUGUGGAACAUAAGCAUCACAAUUUGGAAGCCAUAUUAAAGGUGGCUCAGUGUAUGAAGCUCUUACCAAUGUAGUUAUAUGCAUCCUAAGCAAGAGAAGUUUCCAUGAGUCUCAAAGCAAUGAUGACCUUGCCAAGGCUUAGGUCCAAAAGGAAACAAUAAGUUGGUCCAUUUUGGAGGUAGGUAAUGACAUAUACUAUCUCUAGCUAUAGGCCCUACUCGAAGGUGGGUUGAAAAAGGCAUCAACAUUAUGGUGUGGUCAUCAUAUGCUUAUAUUGUCCAAAUUAUGGAAUUAUAAUGAUAGUUGAAAUUUUACUUGUAUUAACUGCCAUAUCAAUCACGUGACUAGAGGGUACAUGUCAACAUACCAUCUGAUGUAUGCUAGUUGCAGUCUAAUAGGUUACUAAAACCGGUGUAUGACUGGUAUUUAGAUUCUUGAUCCAUAUAUUGUCAUCUUUAUGUCGCACCUAUUCUUCAUAAAAAAAGGUCCAAGGUUCCAGUCUUGAUGACAUUUGUCAAGUUAAAACAUUAUUUCUGUCAAUUCUGCCAGAUCUUCACAAAUGGGACCCUACAAUUUCUUGGGCUGCUGCUUAAAUUAAGCAAACAAGUAUUACCAUUGCACAUGCUCCUGUUUAUUUGAUAACUCAGUUUAUGGCAGCCAAAUCUCUAGUUGAGAAAUUUCAUAGAUAUCACAUGUUGAGUUGAAGUCCCAAACCAAGUGGGUCAAAUGAUGAAAAGUUAGAUUGACAGUAGGGAGUCGAGGAAAUAGAACAAGAUAACUGUUUACCAUUUUGUGAUUGAUUGAUUACACAAGUCCUGGUCCAGUUAGGAAUAUAUCCUAGCUUAGCUGUUGGUAUGAUUUUUGUUCUCUAGAUAUAGGGAAAGGUGAUUAAGGUGUGAUGUGUUGUGAAGGUGAGAAUAGUGAUAGUGCUGUGCCAUUAGUGGUGGUGAACAUGUGAGGCCUAGAGACAGGUUGUGUGUGAUGGAGAGACUAGAGUGCUGAGCAGUGCGCUUGCUACAGCUGCCUUGUGAGGAAAAGCAGCGAGGAGGUGCCACACUACGCGUGUAUGAGAUAGAAAGGGCUGUGACCUCAGUGCAUGAGUGGCUGUGAUGCAUGAAAAUGAUUGACAGGAUACUGAGGUGUUGGCCUGAGAGCGAUGCUCCAUCAAAUGACCGAAUGGAAAGAACGAGAGAGAUCAAGGAAAAGAAAUCUGUAAACUUCUGUGUGGAGUAAGCUUCAGUUGAUAAUAUUGUUUUGCAGUUUAUUACCUACAUCACAUCAAUUAGUUUAUCUUACUGAUAAAAACUUGCAUGUUGAUCAAGAUAGUAACUAUGAUUUAAACACAUGUAUAUAUGCCUUUAUAGACACCUUCAUGGGUGAAACCGUAUGUUUUUUUGCUCUUGAAAGUACUAUUUUAUGGAAAUUAUGCUUCAAACGUUUUUAUAUGUAGUUCAAAUUUAUUCCCUUUGAUGUGGUUACUUCACAAAUUAUCUUCCUCAAAGUCCUGUAGCACUCUUCAAUUGAGAUGGGAAAAUUACAAGUGAACUAUCGUUGAGGGACCAUUCCCGAACUGGUCCAAUUAUUAUUUAUGUCAGUUUUAUUGGACAAUUUCUGGUUAAUAAAGAUUGCAAGAGCUUUCAGCGUGAUAUUUAAUGAAAAGUUAUAGAACUCAGUAGAAAUGUCUUUGGAAAGACUUGAAAGCUGAGCCGCAUAGAUUAUUAAAGUAAUCAUGGUUACUUACUCAUGUUCAUCUUUACCAAACAGGUUCGCAACACUGGAAGUUGGAUGGAAAUUGGCAACAGUAUCAGUCAUUUUGGUCUUAUGAGUGCCCAAGUAGUAUUUGUUUUGCUGCUUUUGGCUCUUACUAGUAUUUACACAAAAGAUAUUGAAGUACCAUCACAGAAACUAUCUUGGGGAAAAGCAACUUGAGAUGCUACUUUCAGAUUUCUGACGUGGGAACUACACAAAUGACCCUUAUUCUUUUUCAAGUGAGGUAGUUAAAACAUCAGAGGUUUUUUUUUCUAAUGCCUCUAGAAUGAACAAUUUAUUGAAAUUUUGUGAACCAUUCAUGUAUUAAAAGUGUAAAUUUCUCUUAGGUUUUCAGGUGCUAUUUCUGAGUGUUCUCUGCACUAGUUGUAUUGCUACCUACUAGGCUACUUUCAAUUUCUUGUCAUUAUGGUUUUGCUUCAUGACUUUCGAAUUCGAGGAUUAUGUUUCUCAGCAACUUUGAUGAUUCGUUGUCGUCAAGCAAUUUGAAUCGAAUGGGACUCCCAGCUUCUUCCUUUGUCAUCCUAACAUUGAAGUAUUUAUAACAGAGAGCUCAUGGUCGAGCAGAUUUAACAUCAUUUUCCGAUGGAACUCGAGUUUAAUGAAUGAAUGAAUGUAUGUAUGCAUGUUUGUUUCCAUCCAAAGAAGAAGGAUUUAAGAUGGUGUCGUCGAGGUGCAGCAGUAUGCCUCGCCUCGCCUCACACAAUGCAGAAUAUCCCGGUGGCCCCCCACCGGAUCCUCCCUAAACUUUCACGACCAGCUUUAUCUAUCGAUCACUUUUGCUCACUUCCUCGUCGUCUGUGGGUGGUCUCUUUGGACAUCUAUCUACGCGACACUCGCAGCAACUUCCAUUGGUUGCUCCAAGAAAGCAAAGCAACAAAAAGUAAAGAUGAAGAGGAUAAAAGGCGAGCAGACCAGCAUAAAGCGGCCUCCCAACCAUAGAGAGAGGAGAGCAAAAAAUUAUUCUGGACUCUCAACCUGCACCUUCGUCUCUCUGUCUCCACGACACUCAACCCGGAAAACACAUCCAAACACUUGUUUGUUGUGUGUCUUUUCUUUCUUUCUUUCUUUCUUUCUUUCUUUCUUAAAUAUCGAACAAUUAUCACAAGAUAUAUAUAUAUAUAUAUAUAUAUACAUAUGAUUUAAAGACUAUACAUAUUGUCGUGUGAUAAGAGGUCCAAUACAAACUCAAUGAAAAUGAAGCAUCAAUGACCCUCACUGGCUCGUAGCACUAUAGUUUAAGAACAAUGAUGGCCUGAUAACAUAAAUUUGUAAUUUUUCCCUCCUUUUUCAAGAACAUUAUUCAGCAGGCAAAUCUGUGAAAAAGUUGCAAAGGUGUGAAAAAAAGAUCAUAGUCAGACAGACAGGAAGAUAUGGAGCUAACUUUUCCUCCAUCGAUCCUAUCUUAUCUUUUUUGGUUGGGUGUCUAAUUAGCUUGUGGGAACACUUUGACGGACCCAAUAGAAUCUCACACCAACUCGAAUGCUUAGGUUCUUCCACAAAUACCACUCGAUGUUUUCACACCACAAACGAAAACCCCUCAGGUAAAUUUGUCUCGUUCGUGUUCUAUCUGUACAUGUUCUAUCUGUCAAGCCACAGACAGCUUUUUUGUUUGUGGUGUAAAUAAAAUACAACAUGUUUAAAUGUUGUAUUCAGAUCAUUCCUUCAUGGCAUACAUCGAUUGUAAAUAUUAUUAGUAUUAUUUGCUACGAAGCUCGUUUGCUUCAUUAACAACUUCUUUUUAGGAGACUUAUAUUUGUUAGUUAGGAGAGUUAUGUCCACAGGAUGAUAAAGUUGACAUUAAUCUCGUGUUGCAAUACGUUUUCACGAUGUCUGCGAAUUGCAACCGAUUCAUUCAAAUGGCAUGUCAGAAUCAAUCUUAAAAGAACUUUCAUGACGGAGUCCACAGUCAGUCAUCUUUCUUCUCUGCUUUGAUUGGGUCAAAUAAUCUCAUUCUCGUGCUGAGGAAGGCAAAUUUCUACUGUGUGUUUUGUCAUAAAUUAAUAAUGGGAGCAUGGGAAACAUUCCCGACAUCAAAGGAGGAACGAGCCAUUUGUCUUGUCAGAUAGACACAAACAAAAAUAAGAUGCUCAUCAACCAUGGAGUUCAUCGUAUUCUGGGUUGAAAGAAUAUAAUACAUGGAUGCAAGAGGAAAGAAGAAGACAAGAUCAAAAAGAUGAUUGGGUCACAUAAAACCUUACUCGUUUGGUGGAAUUUCCAUGUUUGGAAUCGACAUCAAGCCUUUACUCAUUGGCUAAAGGCUGUGUGUUUUUGUCUUCGGACUGACUAGUUUCUACUAGAUUCUCUGACACUCGAGUCAGUAGAAGGAAGCGAGCCCAAUAGUUAUGGAUCAAUUAACUUGUGGGACAAGAAUUACUUACUAAUGAUUCAUUCAUUCAUUCAUCAAUCAAUCUUUCACGCUCCAAAUAAAAAAAAGUCCUAUUACUACAAAAAUGGUGCUACUUAAUAUUCACAAAACAUCUAUGAAUUACACCUAUACUACUUACUAGUCCACUAGAUUAAGACAACUUUACAAUCUAAAUACAAAUAUGUGAAGAUCCACCGAUCACAUGUUUAGAUUUUAUUUGGGUGUCAUUUAGAUUUGAGGAAAACAGGAAUCUAAAAUGAUAGAUUACAGACAUACUUCUAUAAUAAAUAGGCUUCUUCUAUUAUCAUUCAUGUCUUCGACAUUAAGUCUUCUUCUUCUUCUUCUUCUUCUUUCCCCUCUUCUUUUGUCCCGUAAAGUCGUCCUUUUUCUUCUUCCGAGAGAAGGCAAAGAAAAAAAAGAGGAUGAAAGGAUAAAGAACUGGCUGGAUUGGGGGUAGGGAAGCAAGCUGACAUGGGAAGCAGCAAGCUGCGGUGGAAGCUCUCCUUCCGCCGUCCCCCCGCCGCCGCCGCCUCCUCGCCGUCGCACUCCGCUUCGUCUUCGCCUUCCUUCACGACGGAGAUGCCGGUGGAGUUCCUCUGCCCCAUCUCCCGCUCCAUCAUGGCUGACCCCGUCAUCGUCCCCUCCGGCCACACCUUCGAGCGCAGCUGCAUCCAGGGCUGCCUCGACCUCGCCUUCCCCCCGCCAGGCCUCCCCCUUGACCUCCAACUUCCCUUCUCCUCGCCGGCAGCGGCGCCGCAACUCCUCCUCAUCCCCAACGCUGCCCUCAAGUCCGCCAUCUUCGCCUGGUGCGCCCGCUGCGGCCUGCCCCCUCCUCACCCCGUCCCGACCGAAGCUGCCCUCGCCCUCGUCCGCUGUCUUAUGCCCCGAGAUCGAUCUACUCCUCCUUCUGCCAUUGUCCCAGCCGCCACAGCAACGCCCUCUGAUGGCGGAAAAGACGAAAAUGAUGGAGCCUGCAAUGGAGGUAAAGGUGAGGAUGUGCGAGCUUCCGAGUUCUUCGAAGGCGGAAAGAGUCAGAAAGAUGACGUUUUGGCUUCGGAAUCGGAAGUGACGCUCAUCAUUCCUCCCUCUCCCUUCGAGCGAGAGCGGGAGAAGAACAAAUGUUCCAGCUCUUCGACGGUGUCUACUCCGUCGUCGUCCUCUUGUCACUCAUCGUCUUCCUAUUCUUCUUCUGAGAUCGUCGUCGUCGUCGUCGAUGAAAGGCUGGAUCGGGAGCGAAUUCCAAGCGUCGCCAAUUCGCCAUCGCUGAGGACGACCGAUGCGAUGGAAGAGAUCUUGAUCAGGUUGAGAGAUUUGGACGCCGGGCAGCAGGAAUCCGCCGCGGCAGCCCUCCGUAAGGCCACGAGGGAGAGCCGCGACCGGCGCGUCGCCCUCUGCACCCCGCGCCUCCUCGGCGCUCUACGCCCCGUGCUCCUCUCGCCCUGCGCCGCCGUCCAGAUCAAUGCCGCCGCGGCAAUUGUGAACCUAUCGCUGGAACCGGUGAAUAAAGUUAGGAUUUUGAGGUCAGGCAUGGUGCCAGCGCUCGUCGAGGUGCUCCGACGCGGCCACCCGGAGGCCCGCGACCACGCCGCCGGUGCCCUUUUCGGCCUCGCCCUCGAGGAGGAGAACCGCGCCGCGAUCGGCGUACUGGGGGCCAUCUCGCCGCUCCUCAACAUGUUCGCCGGUCCCUCCGCCGACGGUCCCCGCGCCCGCCGCGACGCUGGGUUGGCGCUCUACCACCUCUCCCUCGCCGUUGCCAACCGGUCAAAAAUCGCGCGCACUCCCGGAGCAUCGCACGCGCUGCUCGCGGUGGCGGCAGAGAGGGACGAGGAGGAUGCAGCCGCUCCGGGGGAGCAGGGGCAGGGCCUGGGGCCAGCGACGAUAGCGGUGAUGGUGAUCCACAACCUGGCCGGGUGCAACGAGGGGCGCGCGGCGCUGAUGGGUGCAGGCGCGGUGACCGCGCUGGUGAGGCUGAUCAAGGGACCGCCACUGACGGCGGCGGAGGAGGAAUGCGUGGCGGCUCUGUACUGGAUGAGCCAGGGGAGCCUGCGGUUCCGUUGUCUGGCAAAGGCUGCGGGGGCGGAACAGGUGCUGAUGAAGGUGGCGACGGAGGGCGGAGGAGGAGGACCCCUGCGGGAGAUGGCGAGGAGGGCGGUGAGGGCGAUGCGGAGGGAGGAAGACGACGAGGUGGCAGUGGUGGCCCACGGGUUCGGGGCGGAGGCGGACGGUAGCAGCGCCGUAUCGGACGGGCUGAUAUCGUUUCGGUGGCGUCGCAACGGCUUCGGUGGCAGACCGGGUGGCAUCAAGUCGGCCAAGUUCUGAAACGAGUCAACUCAGCAACGCAUGUUCAGUUAAGAGUUUGCGUCUUGUCUACUUAACACUUAUUUCUCGUACGAGUUUUUGUUAGGAGUAGUCAGUGUGGAAGUGCGUGUGCUUUUGUUUUUGAGCUCUUUGUAAAUAUUUUGGUUGAGAAGGGACUAUUGGAAACUUAUAGCUGACGAGAGCAUCGGAGAUGAUGCUUAUGUGGAGCUUUGGGAUUUGUAUUAGUAUCAUGAUUCUCUCUCUCUCUCUUUUUCUCUGAUGUUGAGGUGGAUGAAGAACUUGAUGUAUUUAUUUAGUUUGUUUUUUGUGUAGCUUCGGAAUUCAGGUAAUUUUGGACUGGUGAUAGAUAAUUGAAGAUUGCUCCAACGAGCAAUCACAUUUGAUAGCUUUCAUUCACUCUACUCUAUUUAAAGCAUGUUUUUUUAAGGGAAAAGAACAAAAGUGGCAAGCAAACUGACCGAUUAACCUUUGCCGUAUCAAUUUUUUUUUUAAAAUUUCAUAUGUAUGAUGUCAUAUAUCAGAUUUAUGAUUUUACAUACAACUCAAAAAACCAGUUGGACCGAGAAAAGGAAGGUUUAUCGCAUAAGAACAACAAAAAGAUUUUUUUUUUUUUUUUUGUGCAAGGAAAUCCAUCCAUGUACAGUAAAUAACAUUUUCAGAUUCUAAGUAAAGAAGAUCAAGAGAGAUUAAAUUGUAGAGAACAUUAUUUUAACUUCUCAAAGAAAGACUGGGAAGACCUCCUCUAUCAAACUAUACAACUUUCAAUUUACUUUUUCUUUGAACCAGUCUAUAAAGCCAAAAAACAUUUACAAAAAAAGAUAUCCUUUCCUAAAAGAUAUUCUCUUUUUGUAAGGCCACUAGGAAAAGAAAUUAUUCAGCGCCACAGUGUCACAGUGACAAAAAAAUUCUGCCCUUUCUUUUCUGAUUUAACAAAUAUCUUAAAAUUCUACCAUCCAAGUGGCAGCAUAAAAUUUAAAAUAGUCAAUUCAUAAUCAGUGGUCCUCAACAAAAAAAAGUAUUAUUACUUCUAAUCUCCUUCACUAAGUUCUUGAUUUUAGUCAAUGGAAUGCUAAACCGCUGUCCAAGCUGAUCUAUAAUCAUAUCAUCUAAAUACCUUGGCCAACUCUGACAACAAGUAGCACCACCACUAUGGCUUUGAAGUUUUCUCCUGCUCCACAUAUAAUCUAGUCCCCCUGUAAGAAUGAGGAUUUCUACAACACAUUUUUGACAAAGCAUUCGAUUUACACUGAGGAAUGCAAAUUUAGUCGUCUGCAAAGGUUGAAUUCAAAAUAAGCAUUGACGGAGGAUAAGAUCCUAAGGUUUAAUAUAAUCAAUGGCCCCAACAUGCGGCACAAAAACAACUAAGGCUUGGUCUUCUCACCGUUGCCGCUGUCUCGCAUGAGAUAAAGCUGCAAGAAGGAUCUUCCUAGGGCCCUACAAGUGAUACCAACAUGCAAACCAGAAAGGAAAAAUGUAACAUAUUUCUGUGAUCUUUAAACAUAAAUGUAAACCAUAUCAAAAGAAGAACAUGUAAAACAAACUUUUCACAGUUCAGAUUGAUGACAGCACUCCAGGAUCACAAUUUUCACAGUCAACAUAUAUAUAUAUAUAUCAAGUACAUACAAAAACCAAAGAAAGGAGGUCACUCCUCAAGACACAUAAUAGCAACGGAUUGCAGAUCAGUUGCUUCUCACAUACUAUGGAAGAAGAUAGAUCCCGUAUUAGCAGAUCUGAUUAUAAAUAAAUUCCCUAUUAUGCUAAGUUGACAUUAUGCAAACUCAUGACUCAACAUAUGGGAAACUAUUAAUGACAGAAUAUUGUCCACCAAUAUUUUUUCAAAUUUUAUUAUCGUGGUCGAUGGUGAAUUAAAAAUUAAUGACCUAAGGAUACAAGUAUGACAAUGAACCUUCAACUCCAAACUUCCAUCAAAUUAUCAUAAACAAGAAUGCUCUUAGAACUUAUAGUUGAUUUCAUAACCAGAAUACAAUGAAUAGCUUCUUUUAUAGUCACUAACACAAAACACCAGAAAAACAUUUUUUAUAAAUAAUCUUUUUUUACAGCAGAAAAUAUGGUCAACUCAACUUAGAUGAUAAAUUUAGUUGAUCAGUCUCUAUUUUACUUAUUUUCUUUACUAAUUUCAUGCUAUAAUAUAAGACAAACAACUACAUAGAAGAAACUACUAAAAGAAAUUACCAGAUUAAAAAACCAAAUAUAAGAAAGGGAACAAAAGAAAGAGGCUGUGCUGGUCUCACAUGCCACUGCCAAUUGAUGAUUUUUGGUCACAAUGGUGAGGCUAUACGGUUCAUGGGAUAGAACAAUAAGUAUCUUAGUGGCUCUUGACAAUGCCUGACAUUAUAGUUUGCCAUGCAUCCACAUCCUAUAGCAUGCACUGGCAUGCAAUGGAGCGCAUCAGCAUGGUAUCUGCCUUUAUAUGCAUUGCUUGUAUAACAUAAAAUUGAGUCCUAGCAAGAACCAAUACUGUGAUCCCCACAAAGUCAGCAUGUUAUGUACAUAUUGUGGGUAUACAUGCUCACCUGAUGAUGAAAUUAUAAUUAAAUGUAUAAAAUCUGUUUCCUCGGCUGUUGAAACAUUCUAAGCUUUCUAUUACAUAGAUUAUAUUUGUUAAAAUUUAAAAAAUCUUUUAACAGAUCUAGAGCAACUGAGAUGAUGCUUGGUACACUAUACAUGCCCAAACAUGAGAUUAUGCUUAAUUUAAAAUAUGUCAUCCACAGAAUCUAUCAUUUUCCAAUUUUUCACGAAAGCUUUAGUGAUCAUUUGAUAUGAAGUGAAAUAAAAUAGUUUAAUUUCUUAUUACUACGGUUGAAACCAUUUUACCCUUAAGUCAAUAAUGAAUGCUCACCAUUCAGGAAAAUUGCAUAAACAUUGAAAUAUAUUGUUCAAACUUCAAAUGAUGCUAGUUCAUCAAUGUUUUUAUUUAGAAAAAGUAUAAUAAACCAAACAAUACAAUUCAAUCCUACAAGGCAGGUUAGGUUUAAAUUAUUUCAACACCAUAAAUUUAAAAAUCCAUUAAAAAAAUUAAUAAUGACUAAUAAGAAGGGUGACAGAGUGAUGGAUCACCCAAGUAUAUGCUUGCACAAUGUAGAUAUAAUGUAAAAUACAUGUGCCAAGAAAAUCUAGCCUUUGAAGACAUUUCUUUGCAUAAUCAAUGUGAUUCUAUAAGAAAGCGAAGAAAAUAGUGCCAGCGACAUAAACUUACCAUGGGGAUUCCCAAUUCUUUUAGGUCACUGUCUCCCAUCUGCCUUAAUGCAGUCAUGUCAACCUGAAACCAUAUGCAAUGCAGUGAUUACAAAAUUCUGUCAGAUCAAUCUUAAGCAUUUUAUCUGUAACUAAUGGUUGUUGAAGAACUCUUCACCAAAGGGUUUGAAACAAAUGGUUGAACCAUAAAUUUCAUAUGUAAUAUUUUUGUGAGACUAACUGCAGACAGGGCUUCUUUAGAAUGACUUUUAUCAUACAAAAUGAUGCGAUUAGAAAACACUUAUCUCCAACUUAAUAAAGUAUUAUUAAGUGUCAAUUAUUAUUGCACACUGAAUAAAAUGGAGAAAUUAACAUGAAAUGUUAUCAUUUGUGAAUGAACCAAAACAAACCAAAAGCUCAAGAAAGGAUUGGCGGCACCCUGAGAUUAAAUAUUCUAAUUGAGCUGCAAAAGGAACAUCUUGAAUAAGGAUAAUCAUGACUACAAUUGCAUGGCUAAGACAUUAUCAAGUUAGCAACUAAAAAUUACAACCAAAGGAGUAGUAGGAAUAAAUUUAUUCUUGGGUCAGGUUUAGUUGCUUUAAGAUUUCUCAUCACAUUUUGGAAAUUUUUUGAGAUUUUAAGAUAGCAAUAUUAUUGUAACCAUUAGUCAGUUUUGGCAAACUAUGGUCGUGUCCAUUCAGAAUAAUUUAUUUUUUGCAGUGGGGUCUAAAGUAGAUUAGACAUCCUAUUUUGGUCCAAACAAUCCCAAAAUCAAGUUUCUAAAUCUUAUAAUUUUUGUCUAAACUUUUGUGUCCAUUUUAGCAUUACAAACAUAGCAUACAUUGUCUAGAAAUGUAUAAAGAAACAUCGAUAGAAAAAGAAUAAGUUUCCUUAAAUACUAUUCUAGAUAUCAAACAUACAUGCCCCCUAGAAUAAUUUGGACCAAUCUACAUGAAGGCAUGCAUACAUGAGCAUUAGCAUGUUUAUACAUAAUCUUCAUGGCAAGAUUUUAAAUCCCAGUCCGGUCUGACAUCAGUCCUUGCUCGGACUGGUAAAUAUCAAUUGGUAACAUAACCUAGUAAAAUUCUAGGCCAUAAAAGAAAAUUGUUGUCACAAUUUAGUUAGACUAAGAUUUAGCAUGGGCACAAUAGCCAAAAUACAUUAGCAUUGUAAAUAAGAGUUCUUAGUGAGUUCAUAAGUUAAGCAUGCUAUUCAAAACUUCAACCACGAGAUGCGACAGUCACUCUGACCAGUCAAAUUCUCAAAACAGUUAAACUACAAAUACCUACACAGAAAUAUAACAGUGGCAAGAAACACAAGAAUUUGACAGAAAAUAAUACCUCUUCUGCCUGAAAGAGUAUGGCAUAUUUUCCAAGCCCUAAUGAAUGUAGCAAGCUAGCAACUGUAAGAGGUUCCUCAGGCUGCAGAAGACAAAAAACCUCGAGGCGUUUAUGAAGGAAUCUUUGCCUGUAUAUAAUACAAGGCAAUACACAUAAAAUAUAUUAUUAAAGAAAAUGGUCAUCACCAAAGUUAAUGUAGGUAACCAUCACUCAUCUUGCAAGUUGUAACAUAGCAAACUCUUGAAUUAGUCCACAGCAAUCCUAAAUGCACACACUUGCAAAGAGAUGCAGAAGUCAACAAGGUCUGGAUCUUAUGCCUCAAUUGGCUGAAGCUCAGUGCCUUCAAUAAGAAGUGUCUUAUGUGCACACAUUGUUAAAAAAACAAUGCACAAAAGGUGAUCUUACAAUAUAUAGCUGCAAUAAUCUUACUACUACAAUGGUCAUCAAAGUUGUACCAAGAUAUACUAUAUCAACCAAAGAUUGAUGUGCUGUGCCAGAAAGGCAUGUUAAUUGGCCUAUCCAUAUCUUGCCUUGGCAUAAGUCAAUAUGACACACUGGCAAGCUCAUGAUGAACGGAGGAACUUUUUUUUGUGAAAAUAGAGGAUGAAGAGAGAGGAAGAAGAAGAAGAAAAUAACGAUAAAAUAAGACAACUACGAGAUUCUGUCUCUGGGUUAAGGUCUCACACCUUCGCACAUGAAGAAUGGAAUCAUCCCAUCGGAAAAACACAUAUGGUCUCAUGCCACUAACACAUAAUAUGGAAAAAGAACCUAAUUAAUUGAUCUAUUUUUUUCUGGUAAUGUUUAAUUACAAUCUUUUGACUUCUUUAUAUGUUCCUCAAGUACAAAAAAUGAAAAUAUAAAGAUAAAAAUAUAAUGAUAUCAAAUCACAAAUCAUUUGUUCUUUCCUUCUUCGAAGAAGAUAACAUUCCGAAUUUGACCUGUAAAUAAUCUUCAAUUCUGAGUCUCUGACAAUAUCCUUGAUUGACUUCCAUUUUUGUAUAGAUAAAUCUUUCAUAAAUUUUUCAAUCGGAUCUAUAAUCAUCAAUCAAAAUCAAAUUUUGAUUUCUUCCAUUUUUCCACAUUUUCUUCCACUUUCUUCACCUUGGAGUAGUCUCGGAAAUUAGAUUUAAAAAUAUGCUAGAUGUUUGGUAGUAUGUGAGUUACAAUCUUUUACAACUAGAUGAUUAAAGUUUGUGUACAAUCUUCUUUGUUCUAAGAUCCUUAUUUUAACUGACAGCAAUUCAUAAACAAUUAAUCCUAAACAUGGAUAUCAUGCCCAUCAACCAGCAAUCAAGUUCUAUUUGACAUAGCCAUAUUGCACAAUGAGUAAUUAUCAAAGGAUGGGCAAUCCCCAUGUGACCAAUUAUCAGUCAAAAGCUACUGUGGAUAGUUGGCAAGUAUCAAAGGCAAUUCCUCAGAUCAAAUGUUCACAUUUCAUCUGGAGAGGUACAAGUCAAGAAAAAAAAAGAUUCACAGAAAUGAGGAGCAAUAUGUAGGGGUUAAAUAUAUUACCUUAAGGACACUUCUUGGCUCAAUAAUCCCUGGUGCAGGAGCUCGAACAACCGGAUUUGCAUUCACACUCAUGUCCUUCGCCAUAAAAUUAAGAGAUCUGGAAGCAUCACCUAUCCCACUAUUUGUCAGAAAACUAGAGGGUCUAGAAGCAUCUAUAGAUCUUAUAGCAGAUGCAUGCCGCAGCUCCUCAUAUCUUCUAGAAGGAGGCAUGUGCCUUUGAGUGCUGAUAAACCUAUCCGGAGAACCAAGCCUCUGCCGGUCAGAUGUCCAAGAGUAAGACUUUCUAUGUGAAUCCAAUUCCAGUAAAUCAUCUGCACUUCUUGUGGAAGGUAUUCUCCUUCCAAGGCCAGAGGCACUUGAUUCUGUUACAUGUCGGGAAUCAGAUCUGCUAGAAGCCUGUACAUUUCGAGAGAGUUUUUCACGUAGGUCGACAUCACGUUGUCCUUCAGCAUCAAGAUUUCUUCGAGAUAAGCUUUUCUUCAUAAGUUUCCAUCUCAGAUCAUCUCUUCCAACCCGAUGAUCUUUAUAAAUUAAGGUAUCAACAAAUCAGGGAAAAGCAAGUUCAACAGAAAACAAUUAAUUCUGAGAUCUUUAAAUGGAUACCAGUUUUGAUUUGUUUGUCCCUCAUAUUCUUAUCAAUGAAUCUUGAAUCAUGGCCGUCAGUCCUUUGACUGUAAAAACAGAAGCAAUAGCACCAAACACAAUGAAUUAUAAAGCAAAAUUUGGUUACUCAGUAAAAUGGGAGAAAUAUUAAACAUCAAAUCAGAAUAAUAGGCCUAAAAUAUUUUAUCAUAAGGCCAAGAUCUUGACCCAACAAGUUGCUUUGUCAAGCAUCUGAUGUACAACUCAGAGCUGCUAAAGACCAAAUCCCAUCGCAGCAGAAUCUCUGUUAAGUGCUAAACAACAACCUCUGGAAGCAAAAAACUGUUCAACAAAAACAGAUGUUGUUCUUGUUAUCCAGUCUUUAUCAAGUCACCAAACAUUGGUCCAAGAUCAUAAAUAUCAGAAGCAAUAUCCACAAGUAAGAUUGAAUCAAGAGAAUAAAGAGAAAUAGAACUCAACAAAAACAAAUAGUCAAAAGUUGAUUCAUUACUAAUAACAAAAAUGCAUAUUUAUACAAGAAGCAUUUGAAAGGUUAUAAAAAGCUGAACUCAACAUAAUUCUAAAGCUUGACGCUAUCAGCCAGUACUAACAGCAAGAGUACACCCAGCCAAGCUGUCCAGUGGGAAAGAAUAGGCAUAUAUACGUAACCUGUUGAAUUUCUCUAGCAACAAAUGAAAUGUGGAGAUAGUUGUUUCAAAAUGAAGAAUCAUCCAUCAAAAAGUGAAUAUUUAUCUAAAAAAUGGUCCCACAUAUGUUUUAUUGUCGCACAGAACUAUUGAGACUGAAAAAGGAUGACCAUGAGCCAUUAGAAAGAGAAAAACACACCGUUUGUUUUCGUACUGCCUUCUAUAAGAAUUGUAAUUGGCCGUGUUACUUUCCAACCUUUCUCUCACCGACCUUUUGCCUCCUAAGGAAGGCAUGUCAUCAACAGAAUGACUACCAUCAACUAUAGGUCUUGCUCUCUUGACAACCUGCAAACAUUACCAAGGAAACAGGUCAAGGUAGCUAUUCAUAACUCCCUCAGAAAAGAGAUUUUUUUCACCAGAUAAAUACUCUGAAACUUUUUUUUUUCUACAUGACAUAAGCAAAUGCCUUCCAAGCAAUUUCAAGUAAGGAAUUUGCACAAGUUUUAAUAUGGCUAAUAAUAAGCAAAUCGUAUAAGAAAUGGUAAGUUACUUACAGAAUAAAAAAACAAAUAAAUAAAAUGUAUGUUCCUAGAUCAUAAAGGAAAAGAUAAUUAUACUACAUCGGCCAAUAAUAGAUGCAAUACAUAAGCAAUUUAAUGGUUCUCUAACUUUUACCUCAGCCCUCUACUAUGUCAACUUACUUUCACUAUUAACACAGAAAUUAAUUCAACUUAUUGCCACAGUGGUUAAGCUUUUAAGGUCCCAAUUGGAUGGAGAUAAUAAUUCAAUCCCAAUUGUAAACCACAAAAAUUUAUCAAAACCAGUAAACUAAAAAACACAAAUUGAACAAUAAAUUCCAUGGGAAGGAAGAAAACAUAGCAUCUCAUCAAUGCUACAUAAGUCUCGAGGCAACAAAUGUUAGUCAAAUCACUGUCAACAUUAAUGAGCUCAACUUCUUGAGCAGCAGCUUCCAAGAUGUCCAAUGGCAAAAACUGCAGCAUCCCACAGCAGCAGUAUCAAGCCGCAUAGGCAGCAACAGCAUUGUAUGGCAGCAAUGGCUGUUUUUUUAGUCCCCCACCCUCGCCCCCCUCUUCUUCUCCUCACAUUCUCUCCUUCCAUCCUGCUUCUCUUUUCCUUUUCUUCCAACACAACUGCUACAAUCGGUGCAACCAUCCAAUAAGCAACUCCGGUACGAUCCAAACAUCAGAUCCAAUAUAUGUCAAUAAAGUGCUCUUCAACACCCAAGUCCAGAUAACAUUGAUACCCUGGGUUCACAGGUUUAUAUGUAAGCAAAAAUAAGCUCAAUGGAUGAACUGUUAACCUCAGUUCCUUUGAUGCAUUUAACAACACAAGUAGCCCAAUGCUUGAACAUAGAUUUCUCUGUAGGCUAAUGAUAAAUCCAGAUGCUUCAAAGUUCAAACAAUAUAAUAUAUCAAAUAUUUUGAAUACUGAAUAUCCAUUAAAACAAGGUGAUGAUACAUCACAUAUAAACUACUUAGAUGUAGAAUUCUAUAUGACAAACAAGUGAAGUAGCAACUAAAAACUACAAAAGCUAUGCUUUGUACUAAGGUUGGAAGUCAUGUGAAACUUAGAGUUUGUGAUUAAACAUAAUUCACUAGGUGAAUCCUCAUCAUUUUAAUACCCAAAACAUUUGCUUUAUUUCCAAACACAUUGGAUUCUUGAAAUAACCAUAAGCUACUGAAAAACUAACUUUCUAGCUUCUUUCAUGCAAAGGAGAUUUUUUUUUUUUUUAUCCUCUUUGCCUGAUCGACACCAAAGUAAGAUAAGUUCUUCUUGAGAUAACAAAAAAAAAAUCUAUAAAUUUUUAUUAUGAAUACCAAUUGAAAAAUAGGGAAAGAAAAUAUUUCCUUUAUUCAGGAAACAAGAAGUAUAAUACCACCAACGGUCAUGGAUACCAUACUAUCAAUUAUUAUGUCAUCAGUUGAAAAAGAUCAAGAUGGACAUCAAUUCAAUAGUUCUCGGUCAUCCUUGGAAUGGUUGUUUGACACAGAAGGUAAACCAUACAAUACUUCUUUUAAUAAAAGCACAGGAGGACAUGCAUUUACUUUUUGAUAAUCAAUCUUUUAGCUAUUGUAUGUCCGAGGGACGUAUUUUUAUGAUCUCCAAAAGGAUUUCCAAAUAGUAUUAUCAAUGAGACAAAUCCAAUGAUCUGCAAUGAUCCAAGCAUGCAUACAUUCCCAUGUGGCUCAAAUUCAAAUCUAUGAAUAUGAUUUUUAUUAAUCUAUCAAAUGAUAUAUGCACAUGUCAACGAAGUGAACGAUGAAUGUAAGAAAUUUUAAUAAACAAAACAUGUAACAGAUUCUUACAAAAACAUAAGCAAGGGACGAUUUUUGUUCUUAAAGAAAAAGGGGCUUGACAAUUUUUGUUUUCUAGGAAUGAGAAAGAACCAAUGAGGUAUGCUAUUAAGGAGAUGGACUCAUAUCUAACCAGUCAAAAACAAGACUGAAAAUCACUCCAAGUGUUCGCAAAAACAUGUCCCGAUUGCGAAACGAUAUAAGAAAUUCUCUUCACACAAAAACCAAAGGGCACCCGCAAAUGCAAGCCACCGAACCAGUAGAGUUGACGUCUAAGGACACUAAAUGGCGAACGUACGUCAGCUCUUGAUUACCAUUACCUAACCCUAGAGCAGAAGGCCCAAAUCAAGCACCUCUAGCCGAAGAAGAAGCGUAGACAUCACAUGAUCCUAAAGAACAGAUGCACAAAAGGGGGGAGAAUGUGAUUCGAAAGAGAAAGAGAGGAGGAAGAAGGAUUCACCUGACCGCUUCGGCCUAGAGUAAUGGUGAACUGGGGGCGAGCGGACAUCUGCUCUUCUUAUCGUCCUCCUCGAUUAUUUUGUUCCUUCACUAACAAUUCCUCGCUCGAAUCAGAAACCCUAACAAACCAAGACGGAAAGAGAUCAGGCUCUUGCUCUCGCCCGAGAGAGGCGAGAGACGGACGAGGGUUGGAGGAGACCAGCAGAAGGAGAUGCGGGGAAAGGGGGGAUCAUUUAUGUACCUCGGAGCGUUCACUAAUCGUCAAUCAUCAACACGAAACAAACCAUUCAAGAGAGGAGGGGGGGAGAGGAGGCAACGAGGAAAGCCUGGACUCGACAUAAAAAUAGCUUAUUACUAUUGUUUAUUACCACUACUUUCUUUUUCUUUUUCUUUUUCUUUUUCUUUUUCUUUUUUUUAAUCCUUUUCUAUUUUCCUUUUUUUAUUCCGAUUUAUUUCAUUUUUCCGGUAAAGUAUCCCUAAUUUUCAGGAAAUUAUUUUUUACGUAAUACGUAGAAUAUCCUAAAUUUGACAGCUACUUACCGACCUUUUUCUUUCUCUUUCCCUUAAAUCGAUCCAUAGGGUAAAUUAGUCAAGUUAUUUUUAUCAUUAUUAAGAAAUUAUUAUAUUAUUUUUUAAAAAAAUAUUAUAAUAUUUCCUUAAUAUUACUCAAAAUAUUAUAAUAUUAUGUUACUGAUCAUUUCAUAGAAAAAAAAAAAGAGAAAACACAGAUAGAUGGCUAAGGGUAUUAUUCCAAGUAUUAGAUUAAAAAAAUAAUAUAUAUAUAUAUAUAUAUAUAUAUAUAUAUAUAUAUUAUAUCCCCACUUUGUACUAAUUUUGUUGUUUUUUUUGUUGUUUUAAUUAACUAAAAGAUUUUACUUCACAUAAUUCUAUCAUAUUUUGUAUGUCGUAAAUAGUUCUUAAGUGUCCUCUUCAAAAAAACAGAAAUAUAGUAUAGUAGAAACGUUUAAAUUAGUUUGAUUCUUUAAAUCGAUAGAUGAUGAUUCAUUAGCAUUAGAUGUACACAAACAAACAAUCUAUAGAUAAUUGCACAUUUGAUGCUUGUUUGAAAAGGUGGCCAUUUGCAAAUUUUCUACGUUGAGGUGACAGGAAUGACUAUUUUGAUCUAUUAUAUUCUUAGUGCACCAAUUAUGCUAAAGGUUCUCGUCUAUUUUUUUGAACUUAUCAGUGCACCAGUUAUGUUGUUCAUAGAAAUCCGAUCUCGAUACAUGUCAAUUGAUAGUAUGUUCAUACGAAGAUAAGAUUAUUAUUGAGUAAUACAUGACAUUGGGUGACUAAAGUGAUGACAUAUUAGUUGUACGUGAUGUUAACGUGUCAGUCAUAUCAUAUUAGAUAUGAUAUGAACUGAGGAGGAUUGUAAAUUUGGGUCAAGAAAUAUUAUUCACUAAAGGCCUAAUGAUAUAAAAGAAUAAAAGAUGUAACACUAAAUUUUCCAUAAAGUUGGCAUAAGUUAAUUUGCCCAACCUAGUCUACUUGACUUGGUCGAUCCAACUUAAUCCUUUCGUCGAGCUCUCUAUCAAUCUAAUACGUCGACGAUAGUGGUGAAGUGGAAUAAUAUGACUGGUUACAACGCUGCAAUAAAGUGCAUCAAGUAAGUGUCAAUGGCAUUGUUCCAAUGAUUACUAGAGUCCAACAUGAGGGUCGAAGAUUUAGGAUUUCCUGAUGCAUUAGUUUAAGAAAAUAAAGGGUGACAACGGAUUGAGAAGCUAUGCUAAGUGACAUGCUACGAGUCAAAUGACUAGGUGCAAAGAUACAUGAAGGGCCACACGAUCUAGUGCAACAGCCCACAAAGAGCCAAAAGACUAAGUGCAUUGGCAUAAUAGGAUUAAGUGACUAGAAACGAUUGCACACUUAGAAGACUAGGUGUGGUGGCACGAUAGGGUUAGGUGACCAGGCAUGGUGGCGCACCUAGAAGGUUGGGAGUGAUGACAUGAUAAGAUUAGUUAAUCAGGCGUAGGAGUGCACAAAGGGUUACGAGGCCGAGUGUGGUGGUGCAAUAGGAUUAGGUGACCAAGCACAAUGGUGCACAAAGGGCUACGAGGCCAAGUGUGAUGGUAUAAUAGGAUUAGGUGACCAAGUACGAUGGUGCACAAAGUGCUACGAGGCCUAGUGUGAUGGUGCAAUAGGAUUAGGUGACCAGGCAUGAUGGUGCACAAAGAGCCAAAAGGCUUAGUGCACGAUAGCGUGAUAGGAUCAAGUGAACAUGUAUGGGGGUACACAAAGGGGCCACGAGGCUGGUGUGAUGGCAUGUGUUACAAGUGUCACCAUUAUACUAGGUGCAAGGAUCCAAUUGAUGCGCAUGCAAGACAUGCCACCCGAUUGAUGAGCAAGAGAAUAUAAGUAGAUUCGGGCAUAGUUGUAUAUGUAAUACUCACCCGCUAGCAAAGAGGAGUCAUGUUAAAUGGCCUAUUGUCGUGUGACCAUUACGUAAAUUAUGACAGAUUCAAUCAUGUUCACAAUGACAAUCUAUCUAGCCACUCAAGCCAGAUGAUGCCAUGCAUCUUGGGCUAUGGGAUGGUCGGGUAGGUGACACAUCAUCUUCACCUCAUAUAAAUACCUAUUAGUUGCUUCAAGAAUUUCUCACUUGCACUUGUAAUCAAAGACUCUUGCAACGAACUCCUAAAACAUCCCAACAAUCCUAUUUAAAGGUCUGCAAUGUCUUCCUCAACUUCCUCCUCUAUCACUCUAGACUCGAAUAGGAUAUUAUCCUUGUCACCUCCCUUGGUAUCGGUAAUAGAAGCUUUAGCUAUAGAAGGAAUCGAAUCGACCACUUUGAAGGAGGCUACCCCCAUAGCAGAGGCGAAUUUAUCAUGUAGUGUGGCUCCGCCACCUGGUGUGGAGUCUUUUGACUUUGACUCAUAAUGAAGGCCUCCGACUUGGAUAUUCUCCGGGAGGUCUAUCAUAUUCCAUUCAAGUUUGAGCUAGUGUCUACUUGGUUAGAUGAUCAACCUUAUGUACCACGUCAUAUAUUUUGCACUAGCAUGGAUGCAUUGGAGGCAAGACUUUGCUUUCUCCUUCAUUUUUUUUUAUUGAGGCUUUCAACUAUUGGAAGUUCUCACCCACCUAGAUGGUGCCAAAUUCUUUUCGAGCUGAUUUUUGAGAAAACUCACCAAGCUUGACUCUUGACCUUACAAAACUAAGUCCAGAGACAAUCCCGAUAGAAUAUUCCUCCAAAAUUCAAGUUAGUAUCAAUUUAGGACAAAGAAAAUUAGUUAACAAAGAUAGACUAGUUUGACGAGUUUCUUUUUAUCUAAUAUCUUUGGACAGUAACCCCUUUUAUUUCAUCUAUCCAAGGUGGUUGUGCCUGUUGAUUUUAAUUUUUCAUAACAGACAUUACACCAUAUUUUUGUUAUACAAAGNNNNNNNNNNNNNNNNNNNNNNNNNNNNNNNNNNNNNNNNNNNNNNNNNNNNNNNNNNNNNNNNNNNNNNNNNNNNNNNNNNNNNNNNNNNNNNNNNNNNNNNNNNNNNNNNNNNNNNNNNNNNNNNNNNNNNNNNNNNNNNNNNNNNNNNNNNNNNNNNNNNNNNNNNNNNNNNNNNNNNNNNNNNNNNNNNNNNNNNNNNNNNNNNNNNNNNNNNNNNNNNNNNNNNNNNNNNNNNNNNNNNNNNNNNNNNNNNNNNNNNNNNNNNNNNNNNNNNNNNNNNNNNNNNNNNNNNNNNNNNNNNNNNNNNNNNNNNNNNNNNNNNNNNNNNNNNNNNNNNNNNNNNNNNNNNNNNNNNNNNNNNNNNNNNNNNNNNNNNNNNNNNNNNNNNNNNNNNNNNNNNNNNNNNNNNNNNNNNNNNNNNNNNNNNNNNNNNNNNNNNNNNNNNNNNNNNNNNNNNNNNNNNNNNNNNNNNNNNNNNNNNNNNNNNNNNNNNNNNNNNNNNNNNNNNNNNNNNNNNNNNNNNNNNNNNNNNNNNNNNNNNNNNNNNNNNNNNNNNNNNNNNNNNNNNNNNNNNNNNNNNNNNNNNNNNNNNNNNNNNNNNNNNNNNNNNNNNNNNNNNNNNNNNNNNNNNNNNNNNNNNNNNNNNNNNNNNNNNNNNNNNNNNNNNNNNNNNNNNNNNNNNNNNNNNNNNNNNNNNNNNNNNNNNNNNNNNNNNNNNNNNNNNNNNNNNNNNNNNNNNNNNNNNNNNNNNNNNNNNNNNNNNNNNNNNNNNNNNNNNNNNNNNNNNNNNNNNNNNNNNNNNNNNNNNNNNNNNNNNNNNNNNNNNNNNNNNNNNNNNNNNNNNNNNNNNNNNNNNNNNNNNNNNNNNNNNNNNNNNNNNNNNNNNNNNNNNNNNNNNNNNNNNNNNNNNNNNNNNNNNNNNNNNNNNNNNNNNNNNNNNNNNNNNNNNNNNNNNNNNNNNNNNNNNNNNNNNNNNNNNNNNNNNNNNNNNNNNNNNNNNNNNNNNNNNNNNNNNNNNNNNNNNNNNNNNNNNNNNNNNNNNNNNNNNNNNNNNNNNNNNNNNNNNNNNNNNNNNNNNNNNNNNNNNNNNNNNNNNNNNNNNNNNNNNNNNNNNNNNNNNNNNNNNNNNNNNNNNNNNNNNNNNNNNNNNNNNNNNNNNNNNNNNNNNNNNNNNNNNNNNNNNNNNNNNNNNNNNNNNNNNNNNNNNNNNNNNNNNNNNNNNNNNNNNNNNNNNNNNNNNNNNNNNNNNNNNNNNNNNNNNNNNNNNNNNNNNNNNNNNNNNNNNNNNNNNNNNNNNNNNNNNNNNNNNNNNNNNNNNNNNNNNNNNNNNNNNNNNNNNNNNNNNNNNNNNNNNNNNNNNNNNNNNNNNNNNNNNNNNNNNNNNNNNNNNNNNNNNNNNNNNNNNNNNNNNNNNNNNNNNNNNNNNNNNNNNNNNNNNNNNNNNNNNNNNNNNNNNNNNNNNNNNNNNNNNNNNNNNNNNNNNNNNNNNNNNNNNNNNNNNNNNNNNNNNNNNNNNNNNNNNNNNNNNNNNNNNNNNNNNNNNNNNNNNNNNNNNNNNNNNNNNNNNNNNNNNNNNNNNNNNNNNNNNNNNNNNNNNNNNNNNNNNNNNNNNNNNNNNNNNNNNNNNNNNNNNNNNNNNNNNNNNNNNNNNNNNNNNNNNNNNNNNNNNNNNNNNNNNNNNNNNNNNNNNNNNNNNNNNNNNNNNNNNNNNNNNNNNNNNNNNNNNNNNNNNNNNNNNNNNNNNNNNNNNNNNNNNNNNNNNNNNNNNNNNNNNNNNNNNNNNNNNNNNNNNNNNNNNNNNNNNNNNNNNNNNNNNNNNNNNNNNNNNNNNNNNNNNNNNNNNNNNNNNNNNNNNNNNNNNNNNNNNNNNNNNNNNNNNNNNNNNNNNNNNNNNNNNNNNNNNNNNNNNNNNNNNNNNNNNNNNNNNNNNNNNNNNNNNNNNNNNNNNNNNNNNNNNNNNNNNNNNNNNNNNNNNNNNNNNNNNNNNNNNNNNNNNNNNNNNNNNNNNNNNNNNNNNNNNNNNNNNNNNNNNNNNNNNNNNNNNNNNNNNNNNNNNNNNNNNNNNNNNNNNNNNNNNNNNNNNNNNNNNNNNNNNNNNNNNNNNNNNNNNNNNNNNNNNNNNNNNNNNNNNNNNNNNNNNNNNNNNNNNNNNNNNNNNNNNNNNNNNNNNNNNNNNNNNNNNNNNNNNNNNNNNNNNNNNNNNNNNNNNNNNNNUAUAUAUAUAUAUAUAUAUAUAUAUAUAUAUAUAUAUAUAUAUAUAUAUAUAUAUAUAUAUAUGACAAGAAGCCAUCCGUCGAGACUGUUUCUUUGAGAAAUUGAUCAAAUUUGGGUAUUGUUAGCCACAAUCAAGCCAACUGGUGUGCAAUAUAUCUACAUGCUCAGUUUGCUGAAUCCAUUAGGUAGAAUGCACACAGAAAUAUACAAAGCCAUGUCUAUGGGUUUAAAUCAUGGAUAAUCUUUGAAUAAUGAUAAGAAUAACCAUGGUAGAAGACCAAGCAGAUUUUUUCUUCUUCUGGGAUUUCGGUCAUAUCAAAAUUGUAGAUAUCCAACCAAAAAAAAAAAAGUCACAAACCUCCACCAGGUUUAACAAAAACCAAUUAUUUUGUGUUUGAAAAUUUAUAUAUAGAAAACUGAACAGAUAGAUAUAUAUCUAUUUGAGAGAGAUGGAUUAAUAGAUUGUAUGUAUUUUCAGAAGUUAUAUUUUGCAUAUAACAAUUAUCUGUCCAGUGAACCUGAACAAUUUCACUUUUCAUGGUUAAGCUAUGAUACUCCUCUCCUGAUUUAGUCUGAAACAUUACAAGUAAGCUAAUGCUUAGAUUAUAGAGAUUAGGAUUUGAUCAAUAAUAAAUAUAUUAUUAUUAUUAUUAAUUUUAACUUAAGCAUUUUGAUCUACUAGUUUAGGCUCAACCGAUUUAUUUGGCUACUUAUCCUAUUGGAUCAAAUUAUGACAAUUGAAAUAAAAAGCAAACAAGAACAAAAAUAAACUUUUAAAUCUCAUGUACAAUCUAUAACUUAAAACACUCCCAAAGUUUACAACCAGGCUUCAUCCUUUCCUAUCCAAAAAGACAAACAAAAUAAGGAAAAAGCUUGUCCUCCCCAACAGUUGAGAAACUAAUAAUUGCUUGACAACAGCCAUCAUUUGAAGCAUUUAUUUGUUUAGCAGAUAUAUAAUAAACUUCUUUUUCUUGAUUCAGCAGGAAAAUACAUUCAGAAAAGAAGAAGGACAACGUUGCUUGAUGUCAUGAGAUCAUUAUAAUUUGCAUUUAUAGUAAUUAUUAUGUUGGAGAAGGAAAGAAGAAACUAAAUUUGAAAGGAUAAACAUGGCCAAAAUGCUUGGAAUCCUCAUAUAUGUAGAGGUGCAUGGACAAACAAUCAACUAAUUAAGCGAUCUUCUUGACCUAACAUGACUAUGACUUUGAUGGAUCUUUCACCAUUUCAUUUCAUGCACACAAAAAGUACUUGCAUGCGACCAAGCAUCAACUACAUGCAUGCAGUAUCCUUCCUGACAAUUUGGAAUUUGGUGAGCAUGCAUGAAUCUAAUUUGCAUGCAUCGAAUUAGAUGCUAGAAUACAAUCACCUUGUAGAAGAAUAUGGAGGGCCUUCUUUGCACUUCGCUGCUAGAGAUCCUCCUUCAUCUUUGCAUAUCUACUGAUGCAACCCAUGUCCUUGAGACAAACAGAAGAAGAUACUAAUACCAUCAUCUUGAUCAUGGAACAUACAACAGAAAUAAGAUACAUGUAAUUAAUUGUAUUCUCCUCCUUCUCCUCCUCCACAAGGCUGUGAUUAAUUCAUGAGUAUCUGCAGAAGGAAACCCUCUUUCGAAAAGAAAAAUUAACAGACGACAUAGUCCAAACAACAGACUCCAUCUCACACCAUUGCUAGGGUUCAAUAAUAGAUAACUUGAGAGGAAACACAACAGAAGCACAAAUGAAGUAUAUAGGAUGGAAAUACUCUAGAAUAAGGCUCUUUGUUUCUCAUAUAUGUAAGCCAAGAAUAAAGAGAUCGGACCAAGACGCUUGAUUCCCCAAAGGAAGUCCGGAAGAGAAGGAACCGAUGCUCUCCAUGAGCUCUCAUGUCCAAGACAUCGUAUCCCCUCUUCUCCUCCUUUUUUAACUUGAUUAAGCUUUGCUUCCUUCUCCCACCAGUUCUACCAGGCUGAUGGGGGUGUAAUGAUGAGUGACCAAGUGAAAAGAAGAGGUGGAUGAUGAUGAUGGUGGUGGUGGUGGUGGUGGGAAGGCCAUGAUUGGUGUUGGGAGGAAGAGUGCGGAGGAGGAAGGAGAGACCCUAAGCGGCUGGUGAUGCUGGUGGUACCGCUGCUCCUCUUGCUUCCCAUGAUCACAUGGGAGAAGCAUCAUGAAGCCCAUAACAACCCUCUCCUCCCUCUGAAAAGAGGAUGCUGAUGUUACUCACCGAGUUACUCUUUCAUGCUGGUUCUGACCAAUCCCUACGCCGAAGAAUACAUGGUUUUCCGUGCCAGCCUCAGUUAACAGCAACGUGUCACUGCGUGUUCUUCUUUUUUUCUGAGGCUAAGAGAGAGGGGACUGCAGCUUCAAAAAGACAAGGGCAGGUCACAGGUGGGUUGAGCUAAUGAUGGGCUAAGCAAAAGAAACUAAAGAAAGGGGGCAUGUUCAGGGAGGUGUCGCCAGAGAAAUGAAUCCUUUCUUAUCCUUCAAACCCUGGAGAUAUAUGAACGGUAACUGUGCAGUCCUCAUCGGUGUCACCUUUGUUUGGCCUUUGGGAAUAGGAAAAGCAGUAAAUGCGUGUACUCUUGGGAGCAUAUGUUGGCCAAAAUCCCAAUGCAAAGGUGCUAAAUUCAUCUUUAGCACAUGAAUGAGGAAAAACCCUCUGAGUUCAACAGUUGUUAUAUGAAGAGAAUUUGAAUCCACUGUUAGCAACAGCUGAACACUUGUUUCUAAGAGUUGACCUACCAAAGGAGAACAAGCAAAAAAAAGCAUGCACACACAGCAUCAACAUGGUUUCUUCUUCAGCUUUAGAAUUAAUUAGUCUCUACACAGAUGCAACAAGCAGGCCCUUAAAGUGACGGGAGGGGAAAGGCCUUUUGUAUCAAUUCUUUCAUCAGGAGGAGGAGUCCGGUGCUUAGAUUUCCUAUAGAAAGAUGUGUGGCAGCCCCACGUUGGUGACACUAUGACAUCAAUAUCCUGCAAAGAUCUUGUGCAGUGUGACAACACAACCCUUUCUUCCCUUCCUUUUUCUUCGCAUGCCAAACAAAAGGUUACAUGAGAUAAUAAUGAAUUUAAGUUGCAAGCGAGUUGGGCAUGUAACAUGGUCUGCACUAGAUGUCAACAGAUUGCUUUCGAGGUUUUGAAAUCGUCGACGUUGCUCCUUUGAGAUCAAUUCCACGUAAAAAGUAUCGAGCGCUGCAGAUGUUUCGGAGGAUCGACAAGCCCUAACGAGAGCUAUACAUCCAUCUAUCGUUGGUGUUUUUUACAGUGCAUACAUAUUUACUUGAAGAAGAGGGAAACAGUCGGGAGCAAGGAAACCCCAACUUUAGUUCUAUCGAUUAUUGAAGACGAUUAUGACCAGAGGGAGGCGAUGCAGCAAACAAGAAGACACUCGAACUCAAUGACGCCAUCAAUCUAUUUUGUUCCGUCCAAGUGUCUUUAUCUGUAUGGUGUCGAAUUGUUUGGGUGCGUGACUGCUUCAAGUUCCGAGCCUGAAGAAAAAGCUUUCCUUGGGUUUUGUCGUUCUUCAUACUAUAUUGUCAGCUUAUAAUUUGCCGGCAUCUGUGUCUGUGCCACGCUCUCGAUUCCGAAUGCUGCUGUGUGGUGCAUAACAGUGAAGUACAAUCCUGACGAGGACUGUUUCCGACUGCAUUUGGGCAUUAACAGUAAUAGCUCAUUAUAGAUGGACGAAAAGAAAGGUACGGUAUGGUGACCAAAAUCGAAGCUUGAUGACGAGGUCACGGCACAAACAUUCGUGGGGAUCGCCAUGCUCGUAAAGAUUCCGAGCCAUAUAGCACAGGAUUUCAUGAACGCUAGCUAGCACUAUCGAGAUCCAAGCUCAUUAACUAUAUUAAGCCUGAAACAUUAGUCUAAAAUGCUUCAACCCAGGUUGAUAGUAGCACACUAUUAAGAUCCUAAGAUCAUCCUAUCCUGCAAGUCGAUUCAAAUAUUUAUCCAUAUUGAAUCUGAAUUGGAAGUGGCUUAGAACGAUUAAUCUUGAUCAGGGGAAAGGUAGGCGCUUUCGGCAAUUUUGUCGAUGAUAUCUUUCCCGGCUUGUAAGCCCAAAUCCAGCACCCAAGUAGUUUCAUCCUGCCCCAUAGCGUAGGCCUUACAAGAACAGUAGCGAUCCAAUGAAAUAGGUGUCGAUCACGCUGUCGGUAAGAAUGAGUUCGAUAGACAUGGAUAGUGGAGUUUCCAAAGACAAAUAAAUAUUGUGAGAUUAAAUUGAAAUGUUCGAUAGAGUUUCUAACAGUUUAUUCUAAUGAAUUCGAAUUUCUUCUUUAUCAUUUAUUUUUUUAAAAAAUAAAAAUAAAUUUAAAUUAUAUAAAACACUGCGCUUAUUUUAUAAGACUAAAAAAAAAAAAAAAAGAGCAAUAAAAUAUAGCCAGAUGGUUCGGACACUUUCAUCAAUUUCAUGCAAUGCUAUGAGAGGAAAAGAGAGGAAGAAUAGUGGAUAAGAAAAGUAAUAUUAUUUGAUAGAAAAGUCAGUGCACAUUUAUAUAAGUCCAUCAGAAUCUACUUUUUAGAUAUAGUGAUAUUGAUGUUAAAAACAACUUCUUAUUGUUCAAAACUUAUCUAAAACAUGCUUAUAUGUCUCUUAUUAGUUCGAUUUUCGAGUAGCAAUCCGGUGGAGAGAGAACAACAAAUCAAGAACUGGAGGAGGAUGAGAACGGCCAUCAGAAUCCUUUAUGUCCAUCCCAUUGUUGCUUGGUUUAUAGCCGCAAAGUUGUUGGGCUUAAAUAGGAAUCUUGGAAUCCUAUAAAUCGAAGCAUCCCCAAUGGUAUAUAACAGGAGAUAUGUAUGCAUUAGAUUUAGCAGAGACGAAAGCUCAGAAGAAGAAGAAGAGCAGGGGAGGGUGGCAUCUCCUGACUCGAAUCACCAAAGAAUUCCUACAGUUUGGGGAAUGAUCGUAGAAAGAUUAUAUAUAAAUAUAUGAAAUCUCCGCAUUGGAUGCUUCAAAGAUCCGCCCACUUGGAUGUUUGGAUACCUGAAAGAAAGCUCACACGACGCUACUCAUCAUUACUUGUAUGGCUUUUGUGUAGUGGCCUCGUGCAAUCAAUGUAUCUGCAUCACCAGGGUCCAUCCAAAGCUUUUACUUUCGAGCACGAGAGCAUGCAGGCGAGCACCACCACCACCACCUCGCUCAACUACCCUGCGACAUGGAGUUCUUUCAGCAACCUUUUAAGGCAAGAAUGGAAUCGUCAACAUAGUCUCAGCUGCUAAGAAAAAAAUGAUCCUUUUUUCUCUUCGGUUAAUGAUUAAACUCACUCCGGGGGAUCCAUGGCAGCGGUUCUGAUGAUGACAUGAGUUGGUAACCAUGAAGGAGGUGAGAGUAGUGCCUAACACUCUCAACUUGCAAGUCUUCGCUGUCAUGAUCAUUCUUUUGCUUCCGGAUGCAGUUCUGAUCAGUUGUAGACAUACCAUAUAUAUAUAUAUAGACAAUCCAUUAAUCCAAAGAAUCAGGAGAACCGAGGCUUCGGCAUUAAGAGAAGGGCAGCAGCAAGCAGCUGCCUGCCGGAAAACAAGCAGCAUCGUAUAAGAUAGCUCGACAGACAGUCGGGCUUCUGUACUUGGAAGAAAGCCAAUUAUAAGACCAGAGCAUCAUGCUCUCCGACUCGCUUAUCACAAACUGUAGAGAUGUCAAAACUGGUUCUUCCUCCUCCAGAAUGAAACUACUAACUUAAUAAACUAUUCCUCCUCAAGAAUUAUGCACGAAAGCUACUUCAUACCUAAUCUCGGAGCUCCAUGUCUAGCUAGCAUUAAGACUAUUUGGAAAUAGAAGGCGAGAGAGGCCAACAAGCAAUCCACCAAACCCACAGCCGAUCUCAGCAAACCUAACUUCGUAGAGUAGGGAUAGAAAUCAAACUCGAGCAGGAGCUAUAGGGAUUGGAAAGUGGGAGUCGCCGAGAGAGAUUGCUGUGCGCUGGUGCUCGAGAGAAGCGUUUCCUGGGAAGGCUCGUGCAAUGUCAGUACUCGAUAAAUGUGGACACUCCUAGAACAAUGCUCAAGCUGUGGUUUGGUUCCUGGUAGGGAGUGCCUACCAACAUUUCAACAAGCGCCUCACUGGCAUUCGAGCUACUCCUGGAGAAUGAGCAGCUCAUCAGUGACCUGACAGAAGUCGGGAAGAUGCUAACCUGCGGUCUCGAGUGAUUUCAUUUUGCAGGCACAUCAACCGUGUCAUGUGUGGAAGAUGAAUUAAGUACAUGAACAAUUGCAUGAAACAAUAAAAGAGCCCCAUAACUGAGUUAUGCAGAUCUUUAUAGCACGAGAAUAAAGAGAUCAUAGUAAAUCAGAAAGAGUUAUUAGGCACAAGGAAGGGCUUGACAAAGCAUUUGGAUCUCAAGUGUUGAGGCAUCAUCACCCAACUCUGUAUUGUUCCUCAUCAGAUGAAGCUAUUGUGAACCACUCUAUAUUUUUACUUUGCAAGGUGACAACAGAGCCCGGACAUUUAUUCUUCUCAUGCACCGACUCCCAUGCCUUCCCUGCAGACCUGUGGCACAAGCUCCCAACCCUCGAGCCAUACCAUAAUGUCCCCAGAUUUGUCAGUUUGACCGAUGGUCAACACUGCAUUCCAACAACACCCAUCGCAUUUACCUGCUGCUGGAAUCUUCCUGCUGCCCACCAUGGCCGGUGGUGAAUGGCUGGUUGGCUGGCUGGCUGGCUGGCUACAGGCAAAAAGUUGUCACCCGACUCAGCACCACAAGAGAUGGUAAUGGAGUAAAUAGAGACUCGAGUUCACAUGGCUCUUGCGCAGGUUUUCUUCCCCCCACUUGAUCUAUUAUUAUAUCUGCUGGGGAAGAAGACAGAGGAGGCAAACGGAUUAAGAGUUACCGACUCCACCGUAAGGGUUUGAUUUGGGCAGAGUGCAAACAGUGUGAUGCCGGACCCCACUUUGACUGCACUUUGACUGGGCUUCGUCCUCUGAUUGGCCGGGAAUUCGAUGGUUCUCUGUUAACAUUUUGGUGGCAUUUGAACGACGACGACCGUCUGAUAUCAUCAUCAUAAGUAGAGAUUAGCGAACAUAUUAUGAUCGAACUGAUUUAGUAUUAAAUUACAGCCCUUUUGGUUCAAUCGAACUUUUUUUUUUAAUAGGGUUAUGAUAUAUUUUAUUUUUAUUUUAAUUAAUUUAAAUUUUAGUUAGAAUAUCUUUGAAUAGACUUGUAGUGUUUUUGUCACCAAAUUAAAACAUUAUAACCCUAAUAAAAAAAAUAUUAUAACUCAAUUUUAGUCAAUUAAAAAUUUCAUUAUCAAUAAAUAACUAUGGGAGUAUUAUAAACUUAUUAGUAUGAGAAUUUGAAUCAUUUUGGAUGAAAUUUAUGAUGGUUUAGUCCUAAUUUCAAACAAACCAUAAUAACAAUUCUAUUAAUUUUUUUUUUGUUCACUUUCUCUUAACUUUAGGUUAAAAUAUUUAAAAAAUCUUACAAUGUUUGCAAUCAUUUAUUAGGAAGGAAUGAUAAUGAGACAUUAUUGUUCCAUCACAAUACAUUCCAAUGGAGUUAUAGGGUUAUUUGUUUUAGUAAUAAAAAAUAUCUUCACCCUAUUCCAAAACACUAUAAAUCAAAAUUAAGGUAACAAUGUUCAAAUAUAUUAUAAACCAUAAUUAUUCAAGCCCAAAUUUUUAUUUUGACAGAUAACUAAGUGUUUAGGAUAUUUUGGUUUUCUUAUAAAUGGAAUUAGCUCUCUUUAUGAAAUAUAGAAAUGAAAAAAAAAAAAACCUUUAGAGAAUUCAUCUUAAGAUUUUUUUUAAUCUUUACCUAUAUUUAUGUCAAGUAAACUAUUAUUAGAUUAAUAUUUUGAUACUAAAAUAUAUAAAAUGUGAUAUUCAGACUUUACCACUUAUAUACAUAAUCGAAAAACUUACUUUCAUAUUUUUCUUACUAGAGAUAAUCAAUAUAUGUAGUCUUACUCUUAAAUAUUUAAAAAGAUUAUUUUCGUAACUCGAAUCUUCAUUAUCUAGAUUACAAAAGAUAUUUAGAACAGUAGAGCAUUAGAAAGAGUUUUUUUUUCUUCAAUAUUAUUUUUUGAUAAGAUAUCUAGAACAUUGUACAAUUAAUCUAAAACACUAUAUAGAUAUUAAAAGAUAUUAUAAUUGAUAUGAUCUUCUCUCUCUUAUGAUACUGUUUGUUAUAUAUAGGGUAUUAGAAGAUCAUAUUUGUAAGGCUAGGAGUCAGUUAUUAGGGUGAUUCAUAGUGUUUUGUACAAGUUAUUAGGUUGAUUUAUAAUCUUUUUUGUGAGGUGUCCAAAACACUAUAUAGCUUUUGAAAAAUAUUAUAAUUGACACCAAUGUCUAUCUCUUAUGAUAUUGUUUCUCGUAUAAUAUUAGAAGACUAUAUUUCAUAGCUUCUUCGUUGUGUUGGUUGAGAUUAUGUUUUAUAAUAUUCAAUAAGAUAUCCUAAAUCUCGAAUAUAUAUAUAUAUAUAUAUAUAUUCUCUUUUACUUGCAUACUCGCCUUAUCAUAAAAUAUAUACAUCGAAGAACGAAACCUCUUAUCAUUCUGUACUCCCUCUCUUCUCUCUCUCUCUCUCUCUCUCCACUGCCAUAUUCUCUUCUUCUCCCCUUCCGGCCUUCCCCAUCCCUUUUCCUCUCUCUGACUCGCUCUAUCCCAGUCUCUUUUUCUCUAUCUCUCUCUCUCUCUACGUUUUCCUCUAUCUCUCUGUGCGGGGGCUUUUGGUGUUCCGCGACGAUGGGAAAGCAAUGAGGAGACCAUGCCGUUCACGCCAUCAGACCACGCCUCCUGCGGCGACCUUUUGUGCAGGGAAGACGCUAGUGUACUCACCGGAGACUCGCCGGGCGGCGCCGUGGGUCUGGUCGAGUUCCCCGAUGAAUCGGAUGAAUCCAUCGCCGGGCUCAUAGCGGCGGAGACGGACUACUCGCCCGGGUUCGACUACCCGGACCGGUUCCGGUCCAAAUCGCUCGACUCGGUGGCGCGCCAGGAGGCCGUCGCCUGGAUCCUCAAGGUCCCCCGCCGGCGCAUGCUAUCUCGAUUCUGUAGUGAUUUGCUAUCUCGAGCCGGAUCCCCUUACCGUCGUCUGGCGGAAGUUUUAAGUGCUCUAUUGUUAUUUCUUUUCCCUUCUUUUCAGGUGCAUGUGUACUACGGUUUCCGUCCAUUGACGGCGUAUCUUGCCGUUAACUACUUGGAUCGCUUCCUCUCUUCUCACCGCUUACCGGUUUGUUCAUUCCCAAUGUUCUUCGCUCCUCUUCUCGUAAUUACAUUAUAGCUUUAUGUUAAUUCUUAAAAGGAAUGAGUUUGAGAUUUCCCGUGACUCGAGGAAUGACAAAUAACCAAUGCUAAAAUCUUUAUACAUCUUUGGUUGUUUUGCAGUUUCAUCUUAAGGAAACUAAGUUUGGCCACAUAAGGGAGUUCGAUGAGAAAGUAUGUAUGUUCCUAUGGAUUAUGGAUAGAAGGGUGGUUGUAGAUUCAUUAAUAUUAGUAAAACUUUUGGAGCCAUAUUGAAAAAUAAUUUUUUUUGUUUGUGCAUAGAGGAAAAAAAAAAUACUAUUAGUUUUUCUUUGUAGAGGCAAGAGUUGAAAAUGUUCUCCGAUUUGGAUGAUGAUGCAGUUUUGGCACAUGAGUAAAUAUGAGUGUGCAAGCCCCUGUUUUUUAUGCUUUCGACUUGGAUUCCUAAAUUUUAGGCUUCCUUCUAUGUACUAUUAAGACCCUAUGGAAAGGAAAGUGAUCAUUUACACUAGGUUAGAAGGGUUGGUUUACCUAACAUUUCUGGUCAGUCCAGAAAAAUUAGGGAAAGAACAGGAUUGGAUGAUGGAGAAUAAAUACUAGUCUUCUCAUCCACAAAGUUAGCAUUCACAUGUACUUUUUUAAUUGCUAACUUGGGGGUGACAAUGAUCCUAGCUGCAUCUGCAAACAUAAAAAUAGAACAAAAUUCAGCACAGUCUUAUUAGUUGUAUCAUGGAACCUUUUCCAUUAUUAUUAUUUUUUGUUUUAAGAAGAUAGGUUAUCUCAUACAUGUUCGAUCUGCCCAUGCAGCAAAAUGAAUGGGCAUUGCAACUUCUGUCGGUGGCAUGCCUCUCCCUGGCUGCAAAAUUGGAGGAGACCCUGCUGCCAUCCUUAUUAGACUUGCAGGUAAAAGAAACCUCAACACAUUUUAUUUGGUCAACUGUCUUUGCUAAUCUUCAUUUUUUUGAUUUGCUUAGGUUGAGGGUGCAAAGUUCAUUUUCGAACCUCGCACAAUUCUCAGAAUGGAGCUUCUCGUGCUCAAUGCAUUGAACUGGAGAUUGCGAUCUGUGACACCCUUCACUUUCAUUAAUUUCUUUGUUCACAAGAUCGACCCUGCAGGAAAGUAUGCAAGAUCUUUGGUUUCACGGGUCACCGAAAUUACAUUGGCAACAACGAAAGGUUACGUAAUUAUGAUUGUCAUUACAAUAUGAAUAAUUAAGAACUGCAUUCUCGAUUUAAGCUGAAACAUUUGGUGUAACAGACAUAAAGUUCCUAAGUCACCGCCCAUCAUCACUUGCUGCAGCUUCCAUUAUUUGUGCGACCGAUGAGGUUAAGGAUCUAACAUUUGUUAAUCCUGGUAUUGCAGCAUCGUGGUGCACCGGAUUAAUAGAGGUGAGAAAAAUUCAGUCUCGAAGUAGCUAAAACUGUGCAGCUUUGAUAGAAAAAAAGUAUACUAGGCUGCAUUUUUCUUUUUUAUAGGAAGGGAUUGCCGAUUGCUAUCAAUCACUCAAGCAAGUAAUUGUCGAUAUAACGAGGAGAGAGCCUCCAAUGAUUCUUCCGCAACUCAGAGUUGCCACCCCAAUGAACAUGGGGCCAAGUGUAUCAUCCUCUUCUUCCCCACCCAAUAAAAGAAGGAAGCUGAACAAUAAUUGCUGAUGGGUGGAUAAUGACAAGGAGAGUUUACAGGAAACCUGAUAAGUUUUUUUUUUUUUUUUUCCUAUUCUAGGAAGUGGGCUUCGUAAAAUCAGCUGCAUAUUUCUACAGUGCGUAGGCAAUUUCUUUUUUUUUUUUUGGAUUUGCAGAUUCCUCAUUAUUUUUCAGAGGAGUCUGGGGAUCUUAGUGAAGCAAUUAGGAUUCUGGUUUAUGAUUGUGUGUCUAACGAGGAAGUAAGCCGGGUGGAUGAUUAUUAUUUUUGGUUCUUUUUUUCUUGAAGUUCUUUCAUUUGUGGAUCUUUGCUAUCUUUAUAGGCUAUGAUAGCAAAGUGUAGCAGAUUCUCGAGGGAGGGGGAUCUGCCAUUAUUUUCUGGUGGUGAGAGUGGAGGGACAUGAUCUUGUUUGUGGAGGGUGUGGGGGCUGUAAGAAUCACAGUUAGCACUCAUUGCUGGAUGAAAGAGAUAUCAACUGAUUGGGUGUUUCUACAGCCGAGGGUGAGAAUGAGAUGGCAGUCAAAGAUGCGGGUAACCAGUACUACAUGUGAGCAAGGAUAGAUUCCAAAUGGCAGUUUGCUCCACAUCUGUUGUCGGUGGGGCCGAUGUCCUCCUCAGUCAGCCACAUCAGUAUGUAUUAUGGAGAUUGGUUUUCUUUGUUUGUGUGAUUGAUUGUUAAGGAUCUUUAAUGUAUUGUUUAGACAAUGCAUGUCAACCUGGAGAGGAUGUGUAUUCAUCUGGCUUCAGGCUGCACCCUCGAAUGAUGUCUUUUGAAGGUUGUGUUAUUCCAAAUCAAUAAAAGAAAAUUGAUACAUCUAUUGCUACCUUUUGGAAAAGCUACUCUACAGUUCAUGUUCCUAACUCUGCAACUGGAAAUGCCCAAAUCAGAGCAAUUAAUUUUUGAAUGAGAACAUAUCUGCUUUCAUGCCUUUUUUGUUAUCAUCGGUUGCUACCUUUUGCAGAUAUGAAUCAAAUCUUUUGUUGGAUAAUGCAUUAAGAUAUAUGAGCAGAAUCAGUCUUUCUGGCAUCAGUGAUUCUAUAAAAUGGUGAAGGUGAGUUAAGUGACAUCAACAUCUCGUUCCAUCCAUAUGAUAUAUAUAUAUAUAUAUAUAGUACUCGUAGGAAAUGUGGCAGUCAUUCUAUAAAAUUAGGAGAAUUGAGUAGUGAGAUGUUUCAGCAGUACAGGAGCCCACUUGUUGAUGGAGUGGUGAUUGCCAGAUUCUUGCACUGUAGGCUAAUGUCCUUGCAGCAUCGUUUUGUAGGAGAGGCAGAGUGGAAAAGCACACAAAAGUAUGGCUCACGAGCCAUACAACCAGACGUUCCCAAGAGCACUUUAAAGCGCAGAGAGAGAGAGAGAGAGCGAGAGCAGCUUUACUCCCUUUCCUGCUGUUUCCUGCUUUGGCCUUGCCUGAAGAGACUCAUCUUCCGUGAGCAGGAUACAUGGCCAGAGAGAGAGAGAGAGAGAAUAAUGGAAUGGUAAUGGGGGACAUGGCAUCAGAUUGGGAUGGAAUACAUCCAAACAAUACAGCUCAAUGAGUGCGGUACGGAGCAAAGGCAUCUCAUCUGGCCUCCCGCCCGCGCCUCCUCCUUCUGCUGCUGCUGCUGCUGCUAACGAACUCAUGGUCUUGGCCAUGGCCGAUGCUGCAAUUUCGAGUUGGGACCAUGGCUGUUGUUGCUGGCGGCCAACCUGCAAUCUUUGGCAUGGCUCACAUUGUCACGUUCAUUAGACAGACAGAGAGAGAGAGAGAGAGCGCGCAUCAGUUCUGGUACCUCUGGUUCAGAUAAUAAUUUGGGGAAGAAGAAGCUUUUGCUUCUGGUUUCUGUAGAUUAUACUGUAGAAAGCAGCAAUUUUGAGAAGUUCAAAUACAGUGAGAUUGUUAAGAACGUGACAAACGAAUCUACAUGAUAGCCAUAAUCGGCAUUUACCUUACAAGGGAAGGGAAGGGAAGGGAUCAAAAAGAUAUAUUCUUUCAGAUACAACGUAAGUAGUAAGCAUAUGGUUAAGAUUUUUUUUUUAAUUGUUUUAUAAAACAAAUUAUCAUACUAGUUUCGAUCAUCACUGCAAUAUAAUGCAUCAAGUCAACUCAGUCCACUAAUUAGUUAUUAGUUAAAAUUAAGUGGGACUAAUUACAUAUUAUCCCCACUAAUUAGUUAUUUUUAGUAUUUCGAUUUUUGUACUUUGAAAAGUUACAUUGAGAUUCUAUAGUUUUACGAAAAUAAAAUAUUUAACUCAUUAUUCUAAUAAAAUCUCUUAAUUUUUAAUAUUAUAAAAUUAUAUUUUAAACUCUAUGUAGAUAUUUCAAUAUUUCACUAUCGUUAUUAUAGGAAUUCCAAUAUAACUUUUGAAAUUGUAAGGAUUAAGAUAUUAACGACAACUAAUUACAAGAGAUAAUAUAUAAUUAACCUAAAUUAAAUCAAACUAUCACAUAAUUCUACGAAGAAGUUUUAUUUUACUAUUUUAAUUGAUCAAACAAUCUUGAAUUAUUAUAAAAUUUUAUAAAAAAACUUAAAUAUACAUUUCUUUUUAGCUUAAAAUAAAAUCAUUUGAUGUACCUCAAUCUUAAAAAUAAAAAAAAUAUGAGCAUAUCAUUUAUCAUAUUUAUAAAAUAUAGACAUCAUAAAAUCAUAUCAUUAAAUGAGGAUAAUUUAUAUUUUUACUGGUAUGUUAACAAGUGUCUUUUGUAAUACUUUGAUAUAGAUAACCUGUUUUUUAUUAGAAAAACAAAAAAGAACCAUCUGACAUAUACCAUGGUCAGUCUUUAUUCCUAAUAUAUCUAUUAAAGGAGAACAAGGAAUAAUGUCCUUCUAUCUAAUACUAAGCUGUUCAUCUUUUUUCGAAUAUUUAUCUCAAAGGCCUAAUCAUCUAACGGGGCUAAGGCUUCUUCUCAAUCAUUAUUAUUAUUAUCAUUAUAUAUAUAUAUUAUUUAUUUAUAAUACUAGAUUAGUUUCAUAUCAAAAAUGAAUAAAAAUUAUGAUCGAUACAUAAGAAGAAUCGGAUGAAUGUAUUAUUAUCGAUUUCAAUUUAAAUAUUUUAAUGAGCUAAAUCUAGAUGAUAGGUUUAGCCCAAAUCACUAGCAAAUAAGACAGAUUGUGUCAUUAUUAACAACAAAGCAAAUAAGAGGAAAAUGGAAACCCUAAAUUUUGUCUCCAAACACUUUCCUCAAGACAAGCACGAACGUGUAAACUGGAGUUAGAAGUCACAGCCGAGGAGGACUUGAGCGGUGUUUCGUUGUGUUCAUGUCAUUAAUGGUGUUGCUCGAUACAUUUGUUAGGUAAACUAAUGCACCCACACCCAACCGUGUGAUCCGUUGACCAAUGAAAAGUUGGGUACUUCUUCCACUGAUACUUUCUGCUACACCUCUACCGAUGGUUACUGUCGAUGCUGCAAACUAAACUGUGCUUAGCAUUUUGGGACGUGGCUUUUCUAUCCAGGUUAUCGACUGUUGGAAUUCCUGGAUGGAUUGGAUUGAUUAUAUCGUUCUUGCUUGGCAUUAUCCUCCUCAGAUGUGCUGUAUCUUUGGUUAAAAGAUUAAAGAUACCAUGGUGACCAAUCUCAAGUAAACUACAGCUCUUGGAUGCAUAUAGUGACAUCAACGAUUGCGCUUUGAAAGAUGUUGCCUCCGUUGAAAGGAGAUUAAUAUUUUGCCAAGUUAACCGGAAAAGAUGUUGCCUCCGUUGAAAGGAGGCUGGCUGCAAAGAGAAGCUUCUUUGAAGGUAAUAAUGAAUAUGGAUGGACACACUAUGAUAUGACAACAAUGUUCAGCAAUGGUGACAACUGCAAAGACAAGUUUUAUGGGAGCUCUGUGGUAGGUGUCGAGGUUGAGUCCAUAACAACAAUGUUCGGCAAUGGUGUCUCUUCCCAGUUUUGAUUUGGUAGUGAAACCAAGGUUGAUGAUGAAGGCAACUCCGCCACCGGUUCUACCUACCUACCAUGAGAAGCAAACCAAGUUUCCAUACAACCCAAGGUCACUCGUCCUCUGCAAUUUCCUCAUCAGUUGAGCUAACGAGGGAAGAAGCAGGUUGAGAGUGGUUGUGCCCACCCUUCUGAAUACUCCACAUACCUUGGGCUCCCAUGCCAUGUCCAUUAAGAUGGUUCCUGCUCUCUCUCUCUCUCCCUCCCUCCAUGCCAAUGCUCCACUGCAGCAAGCAUGGAGUGGAGUGUGAUCCAGAGGAAGGUCGGCCCUCUGCUGUGGCUACUGGUCAUCUCCACCAUCCUUGCCCUCUUCAUCAUGCAUUCAUCCUCCACUUUCAGCAUCAGCAUCAAAGCUGUUCUCACCCAAAGCCCUCUCGUCACCACCAGUGAUGUCUCAAACCAAAGCCCUUCUCUCCCUGCUAACACCAGCGGUGUGACGCCAGUGCACAACAGUUCUUCCUCCCCACAACUCUCCGCUGGUAACUUCACUGCACCACAUUUCUUCCACUGCUCGGCAGUGUCGAUGCAUUAUGAUGGUAACUUCCUUCUUCUGUCGGUGCAGAUGGCAACGAAGAGCAAUGCGACACAUCGAAGGGCAAGUGGGUGAAAGAAGCAGGAGCAUCGAUCUACACCAACCUGACAUGCCCGACGUACCCUGAUAUCAAUAACUGCGGCAAGUAUGGCAAGGAUCAGAGCUAUUUGUAUUGGAGAUGGCAACCGGAUAGUUGCGACAUACCGAGGUUUGAGCCCGAGACGUUCUUGAACAUAGUUAGAGGGAAGAAGAUGGCCUUCAUCGGAGACUCCCUGGCCCGGAAUCAGAUCGAUUCUUUGCUAUGCCUCCUGUCUCAGGUGAUAUCUUAUGCCUUCAUUGCUGGUGCUAAUUCGACGCCCGAGAUUAACUGAAGCUACGACUACAACAUGAUGUGCUACUUGUGGUGCAGGCAGAGACUCCAAGGGAAGUUUCCAGGGAUUCAAUUGGGAAAUACGUGACAUGGUACUUCCCACCGCAUGAUUUCACCCUCAUGGUCAUGUGGACAGAGUAUUUCGUAGAAGCGAGACCGAGAAUCAUAAAUGGAACAGCUUCAAACUCAUUUGAGAUUCACCUGGACAAGGUGAGCACCAAUUGGGCAGAGAAGCUUCCUGGUGUAGAUUAUGCCGUCCUCUCCGGUGGCAACUGGUUCUUCAGAGGGAUCCAUUUGUAUGAAGAGGGAAAGAUGAUCGGUUGCAUCAACUGCAGGGGGCAAAACCUGACAGAGUUCGACGUCACUGUGACCAUCAGAAGGGCGCUCAGAACAGCCCUGCAGUACAUAAGUUCAUGCAAGGAUUGUGAAGGGCUUGUCACCUUCUUGAGGACCUUCACAUCGUCACACUUUGAGAAUGGCUCUUGGCUCACCGGAGGAUACUGCAAUAGGACUCGGCCAUUGAAUGAGACUCGGAUACUCCUGGAUGAUAUCGCCUGGGAGAUAAGAAAGAUUCAGUUAGAAGAGAUCGAGAGAGUAAGACGACAAGAGAGCGGAGGGAAGAUGAGGUUUGGGGUAUUGGAUGUCACCAAAGCUAUGAUGCUGAGGGCUGACGCGCAUCCUGGGGAUCACUGGACCAAGAAAUCGAAGGCGAGUGUCAAUGACUGCUUGCACUGGUGCUUGCCUGGGCCUAUCGAUAUGUGGAGCGAUCUACUGCUUGCGACUCUCGAGAAAAAUUUUCUACCUUCUUAGUCGACUAUUUUGUACAUUUUUUAUCAUUCAUAUUCAGUAAAUUCCAUAACAUUUAAGAGUUUGAAACAAAGAAGUUAUCAAGGAAAACAUUCACAAGAAAGAAAUGGAUUCCGAAACACAACACUCCUACUAUUCACACUGUGUCUUGAAUUGUUUGUAGUAUCUCGAAUGACAUUAAAAAAAAAAUGGCAAAAGAAAUCUUCAAUCGGAUGCUUAACAUACAAAAACCUGUUCCUACGAAUCUGAGUUCUUCACAACAUGGUUUGUUUAUACUCUCGUAUUGGCGCAUAUGAUGAGUUGCAGCUCCUUCACACACUCUGCCAUGGAUGGCCUCCCGCUGCUUUCCAUGCGGACACAGCGUGCGGCAAGGCUUACAAACAUGGAGAUGGAGUCCAUGGUAUAUGAGCUUUUAGCCAUGUCAGGAUCAACCACUUUUCGCAGUUUCUUUCGAUCAUUUAAUAGACGUCGAACCUAGAACAUGUAAGCCUUCAUGAGCUUACUGCAUUUACCCGUAGGUUAUCUAUCCUACAAUUCAAAGUCCUGUACCUGUAACAGAAGAUUUUGUUCACAAGGACCCCGGUUGAGUUCUACUGCUGUCCGACCGGUCAACAGUUCAAGCAGGACGACGCCAUAGGCGUAGACAUCACUCUGUAAGGUGAGCUUUCCUGUCUGUAAAAAUUGAGGAAAUCUUAUUAGAAGACGAAGCUUUCUGUAGGUGUUGCAGAGUUAGUUAUUAGAAAGAAAGCACUGUAUAACUAAAUAUACAGAAGGAUUAGUUAAGCAUUUUUUUUUUGUUUACUGUGGAAUCAAACUUGAACAUGUUUCAAGUUGGAAAGUAUUCAAAGCAAUAAAAGAAAAAGAAAAAACUUGAACAUGUUUCUUCUUUGAAAUUUGACUCUCUUCGGGGAAGAGUGCUGAACAUAAACUGCCUUGCGGACAUUCAUGUCAUUGUAUCCGAAUUUAGAACAUUAAACAACAUCGAUCGUCUUCAUUUGUUUUCGAAAGGAUUAGCCACCUUCAUGACACUAAAGCGUGAGAUGAUUGCCUGCCUUUCGAAAUACCGAUUAUAAAACUGGGCGGCGGAAAACUCAAUUCUGAUACAUCAAUCUAUUUUAAUUGGAAGAAAGCAUGAAGCAGGGUAGUUCAGAAACUGUAGUAAGAGACUGCAGCAGAGCUUAGAAACUAGUUAUGAAUCAUAAUUCACUAAGAAAUCAAGAGGAAGUGGAUGCAUACCAAUGCAUACUCAGGAUCAAAGUAGCCAAAAGUACCUAGGAGCUUUGUGGUUGCAUAUAUAUCCUCACCGUUUGGCAUUAGCUUAGCAAGUCCAAAGUCAGAAAUCUGAGGAGUCGAGCAAUCAUCACAGUCAUGCCAUGCAACACUGUAGCACCACAAGUUGCAUCAGAUUCGUAAUUCGUGGAUACUUAAUCUCUUCAUUACCUUGGCCUCAAAGUAUUCAUUCAAGAGAAUGUUGGUAGAUUUGAAGUCUCUAUGCACAACAGGAAUACCAGCAGCAGAACUGGAAUGGAGAUAAGCCAAAGCCCUCGCUGCUCCGAGUGCUGCCUUCAGCCUCAAAGCCCAGUCCAUCUUUGUUUCCCUAAUUCCUUAUGAAUGGACGGGAGAAAUUUGAUUAAGAAUGAUGUUCAUACAGAACAGAUUAAGAUGAUACUGCAACUUAAUGGAACCAACCAUUCAAAUAAUCUUGAAGGUUUCCAUUUGGCAUGUACUCGUAGACGAGAAACCUAUCCUUCCCGUCGGCACAAUAUCCGAUCAGUGUUACCAAAUUUGGAUGUUCCAGUCUGCUCAAGAUGUCUACUUCUACUCGGAACUCGCGUUCACCGUCGGUUUGUUUAUAAGGAGGUAAAUCCAUCUUCUUGAUCGCAACAACCUAUAAAUCGUUCGAUACAUGUCAGUAUGAGAAAGCAUCAAAGCAGGUGUGUGCCGACUCGCCAACAGUCCUUCUCUUUGUUACUUCACUGUCUUAGAAAACUCAGAACAAAAUUAUCGAGAACCAAAAUGAUCACAUUUGACAAAUAGAAAACGAAUAUAUAAACUUGUCGAUUUUGAGGUGGUGAUGCAUGGAAUCAAAGUGGAAAUCGGUUAAUUUCUCCAUGACGAACAUGAAACAAUUCGAAGCGAGCGAAAUGACGGUGUAAACAGGGGAAAAUGAUGUGUGUCGUUCCUACUGGCAUAGGAAUCUGAAAAUGAUGCCUGAUCUUCCAUGAAAACAAUGGCGAUACUCACGAACCUCUCCAUUCCUGAGAAUUCCCUUGUACACCCGGCCAAAUCCUCCUUUUCCGAGCAGGUUCUCUUCAUUAAAUGAAGAUGUUGCCUCCUCCAUUUCCCUGAGAGUGAAAACAGAUGAGCAAUUGCGCCUUCCGAAAGAGGGUUUUUGUCCUUUAAGUUGCCAAUAAUCAACAGGCUCAUAUAUCCCUGUCAAGAAAUCAAGAGAUGAAGAGAUUCGUUUCGAGAAGAACCAUCCUUCUUAAAAAUCAACAAGAAAAAUGAAAGAUAUCACGUACAAGGGUCCAUAUGAUCGUGGGAUUUGCUUCUUCUUCUCUUGUUCCAUGCUGAAACAAUGUUGAAAGGCAUAUCGACCCCUCGAAAAAUCUGAAUCAAACUGCAGAAUUCCUGAUUUCAAGAAAAGAAUUAGCCGACCGUCAGCUAAAAAACCAAUAUAGUAAGUAUCAUAUAUACAGGACUCGAGUAUCAAAACCGCAAACAUAUUAGGGACGUCAAAAACAGUGCAAAAAACACUUCAAAAAUCAGAAGAUGAGAAGAUACUAAUCGGGAGAAUGAUAAAACGAUCUUGGAACAAGAAUGACUUGCACAAGGAGAAAUCCAACUAAAUCAUAAAAGGAAAACAAGAAAGUAAGCAACGUAACAUUCAUCUCGCGGAAACAACAACAUGGAAGUUGCCCUUAUUCCCGGCAAAGAACCCGAGACCAAAGCUCAAAGCAGUCAAAUUGACCGUGGCAAUGCCCACGCACCUCAGGUGGGAAACGCAGAGAGGCAUCGGCUUUGGCAGGGGAAGGCUGCUGCAAUUCCCUGAGGGGGGCCUGAAGGAGAAGGGAGAUAGAUAAGGGAGAAGGCUGAUGCAGAGUGAGACCGGGAAGAAAGGGACGGGUUAGACCCAGGAGGACUCGCUUGGGAGUUAAGAAUGAAAGGCAAGUGAGGGUGGGAGAGCAAACAACCACCGAGUCACAGUUCCGGCAAAAAGGAGUAAAGAGAAGAGAAGGGAAAGGAUAGCAAGGAAAGCAAAGAGUACGUGCAGGAUAAGCAAAGUAAAAGGCAGCAGUGGUGUCGAAAGAGAAGGACGUUAGUUUACGGAAGAGAGGUGGCGGGAAAAGAGGACAAGGAAAGGAGAGGGGAGUUUGACCGUUGCACACGGUUUGGAGCACCGGGUGGUGAGAGCUGGUGAGAGGAAGCUUUCAGUCACUCGCCUGUCCUGAUGUCAUCUGUUAUUUAUUAAUAUGUAUUGUUAAUUCUGAUUAUAAUUGAUUUUAGGAAGGUGAUGUGAUCUAUUGCUGAUUCUUGUACUCGAUUCAGACUAUAAUAAUAAUAAUAAUAAUAAUAAUAAUAAUAAUAAUUAUUAUUAAUAGAAUCUAUUUGAAUAAGGAUAAACCUAAUGCAUUCAGAGUUGCCACCCACUGUGCAUAAAGCUAAGUUGGCCCCAUUUAUGUACUGGAUGUGUAUGGAAAACAAAUCCUUUUUUUACUUAUCUUUGCUUUUUGUUCCCAAAAGAUAAGACUAUCAUCAUCAUCUUCAUCAUGCAUUGGUUCCCCUACAAUCUUUAUAGCUGAUGGAAUGAAAUCAAUUCGUUGCCACCUGCUACAAUCAUGUGUGUCAUCAUUGAUUGAUACUUGAUGAUUUCGUAUGAUUUGUUUAACUAGUUCGUAUGAUUUCUCUUGGGAGGGAUGGAUGAUUUUGUAUCCACUGGUCAGUAGCCGUAGUUUCUGUCGAGACAUCCGAGAAGGCGAAGAGGAUGUGCAUAUGAUGAUUCUUGUCUUCCCAGUGUGUGUCUGAAAUGGAUAAUACUCCGGAGUCGAUUAGAGAACGCUGGUCAUCGAUGUGCUCGUGAUACAUAUACAAUGCAAGUUCAUGAUUGGAAAAUGGUUGUUUUGUGAAUGAUCGAUCAUAUUAUUGAUGGUUCUGGUUUGCGGCAAAGCACCCAACUCAGGUAAAUGUGCAUUCUUGCAUGCAUGGUGGCAUCAUGUUAUCAAUUGCUUGUGCAUCAAAGACUCUAAGCUCACAAUCUCCAAUCGAGGAGGGCAUUAUCCAUUGAUUUACUUUCGCAAAAAAGAAAAAUCUGCUGCUUGUUUCUCCGCAUAAACAGCAUUACUGGGUUUCAGAAACACAAGAAUUAACAGAUAGUAACUUUCUGCUCGACUGCCAUAUGGUUGUCAAGAUUUGGAAGCAAAUUAUUGGGUUCCAAAUCGCAAGAUAAGAAAGAUUUUGGUAAUUGGAAGUAGAGGGGUGCUGCUUUUGUUCUUUAAUUCCCCCUAUUUCUCUAUUGAAUAAUGGGAAUCCAUUCGAUCGGUGGGGAAUGCACAUGAGAGCCAUCUUCUCCUGGCUAUUAUUCUUAAUCAUAGCAGCUAAGUUGGUCUGCAAAAACAUGUUGCUUACCGUGCCAUUAAGCAUUUCUGUUUUGUUUUAUGUGUUGUCGAAUGACUUCAUAAUUCUUCUUCUUCUUCUUCUUCUUUGCUUGUAUGUGUAAAAAUGAAUCCAUACUUUGAUUUGAUGUAAAAUGAAUCCAUCUAAUUAUAUGUACCGAGGAUUAUUAUUAUUAUUUCUCUACCAAAACCAAACUUUGAAGCAAUAAAAUAGUUGCGAUUCUUGACUGUGUUGUGUUUACAGAGAGUGAGCCAUAUGACUUCAACAUUCUAACACUGGGAAAAUAGUUUAUUGUUGGAACUGCAUGCAUGCAAGGUUAGCAGCAACACACGUCGAUCGGUACAUGGAUAGAUAGAUAUGUAGUGGAGCUUCCAAACCCUCUCCCUUCCUUUGUUCUUCUCACCCAACACUUUCACUUUGGGGAAAUGCCUGCUAUACCUGUUAGACAACAGCCAAGAAACAUAUAAGGAGUCUCCAAGCAUGCUUCUCAUUAUUGGACGGUGGGUGGGUAUAGUGUUGAUUGUCUCGUUUCUUCCUUUACUCCAAAGAGAAGCAUGGAAUAACAGGUCAGGUUGCCAUUGCCAAAGUAGCAUCAUUGCGAGUUAUUGGUUGCUAUAAAUCUGAGCUUUUUCUUAGGGACCAGCAAAGUUAGGUUUACUGGAACCUUUAAUAUUUGUUAGAGGCUAAAUCUAAAUAUGAAGCCUUAUAUGUUAUCAUUAAUUAUAAACCAAAAUGAUUAGAUAGCAUGUAUAUUUUACCUAUAUGUAAAAAUGAAUUGAACCUGAUGUUUAUUAUUUUGCCUUUCAUAUAUACAUACUAACUAAGAGGCUUCUCUUUCUCUUUGUUUUCUUCUCCUUGUUUGACUCAAACUCAUACUCUCUGAUCCAUGAAGAAAAGGCAAAAAGUUGACAGGAAGAUAUUGAUGAUUCCCACAUUUCCUGUCUCUCUAUAAAUCUGUCUGUGAAAAGUCAAUUCCAUUAGCUGGAAUAUCACAGAGUAAUUGAAAUCAUUCUCAUUCUCAUUUCAAGUCGAAAUAAUUCAAUGCAUAACACAACCAAAAGAACUCUAGUAUGAAGUAUCUUCAUGCCCACGCAUGGACCAUGAAAAAAACUAAAAAUCAUCAUCUAUAUGUCCUAAAAUUGAUGAUUCCUUGAUUUCCAUACGAACAUAUAUAAAGGAACAGAGACACAUAGAAACAAAGAAAAGCUUUUAAAUUUCUGCAUACGAAUCCAUAAGAAAGAUUGGUCUAUCCAUCUUCCACACAGAUCUGGCACCAACUCGAAUGCUAAGUUCUCAGCAGAAAAAAGUAUGUUAAAGAGGGAAAAGGAAUGACCUCAAAGAAGACAUUAGACCUUCUCUCUCUCUCUCUCUCUCUCUCUCUCUCUCUCUCUCUCUCUCUUUUACACAGAUCUUUAGAGAGAGAGAGAGGGUAGAGAAAAAAAAUCAAGACCUCUUCCAGAAUUGCAUGCACAUAAUCUGCUUCAUAUGAUGAAACAAAAGUCAACAACUAUCUUAGGCACAUUAAGUAAACUCAAUAUGACAGAAUUUAAAGGGAAAGAAUUAAGGAAGCAUUUGAUCUUAAGAUCGUACAAUAUGAAGCAGCUAAUCAUCCACAACUAAUCAAUCAAUUAAGCUGAAAACUCCAUGAAUCAAAAACCGCUGUAAUUGGAACAUGUAUUAUAUUCCCUUAACUCCAAUACUAUUACAGCCCACAUCACCAUCCAUUUAUAUGCAUAUAGCUCAUGGCAGGUACAACUUGGAAAGCUCUCUCAGGACAUGCACUUGCAGCCUCAGCAGGAAUAUAUAGUCGGCGGUGCGCAGGAAGAGCUGCUCCGGCUGCAACCGCCUUCCGCCGGGCACAAGCCUCUGCAGCGUCCUCACCUUCCUCUCCACCGCCGCCGCCGCCGCCGCCGCACGCGAAGGCCGCCUCCCUUUCCCUCGGCGGCUCAUGCCACAGAUCCCAUGGCGUGUGGAUCUGUUCAACCUAUGGAAUCCAGCCUGUCUCCACCUUGCCUCCUCUAGCCAUGCCUUUCCCAUAAGAAAGAAGAUGAACGAGAGCAAUGUGGCUUGAAGAAAAGAGAGGACGAAUGAGCCUAUAAAUGAAGCGUGAAGGGAGGAAGAUAUAUAGAUAAGAAUUGACACAGAGAGAGAGAGAGGAAAGGAAGCGAUGCUGCUAAAAGCCAUGUUAGAUAGCGGGGGCGAAAAUUCCAAAGCAUGGCGGCAUUUUGUCGUUUAGCUGGACGUGGGCUCAUGACAGAGGCCGCGGCAUUUCCGGGGCACGUGUCUGACAGCUCUGGCACGUGGGCCGGAGAGUGUGACGUGUUGUUCUACUGACAACUGUGCCGAGGAUUUGACUGCAGCCGCUCCACGUCAAUUGUGCCCGGGUUUUACUGCGUGCGUGCAUGCAUGCAUGCAUGCAUGCG
This 75087-nucleotide long non-coding RNA is filed under the name Musa acuminata (dwarf banana). RNAcentral describes it as "long non-coding RNA (MACU_LNC006314)". Lineage: Eukaryota; Viridiplantae; Streptophyta; Magnoliopsida; Zingiberales; Musaceae. The record is from RNAcentral.